AAUUAACCAGAAUUUGAGUUUAAAUCCUUUGAGAAAAGAAAAAGAGCUGCCAGUGCCAGAAAACACCAUAAUGAUUAAAGUUUAAUGUAUGUGUCCCAGCAAAGAUUACAUGUUUGCUUGAAACAGUAUAUAAUCAUAGCAUCAAAUAUGCUAAUGUUCAUAAUGGGAUGCAAUAUAUGAGUUUAUCCUAUUUUUCCUUUUUCCUUCUUCUUUAUUUCUUUUCAUUUUUUUUCUUUUUGCUUUUGUGUGUGCGUGUUUUUUCUUCGUUUUUUUUUGGGGGGGGGGGGGUUAAGUUUAACUUAGUGGAAGUCCAAGGUUGGGGAUGCUAAGCUGUUAAAUUAGAAAAAAUGGUCCAAUCAUGAUUACCAUAAGUAUCAAGCUUUUGUCCCAACUAUUCAUUUUGUGAGCCCUCCUCACCCUUUAAUUCCAAUUGAGGGCAGUAUUCUGAUGUCAUUGCAAGUUUUUCUGAUCCUUUCUCACAAAUUGCACAACAUCAGCUUGGGUCUUACUACCCUUUCUCUGGAACCUUAGGCACAAAUCCAAGAACCUCUUAUUUGGGCCUCCUCAGAUUCUCUCAGCAUGUUCAAUUGCUUUCUUCAUCAAUUCUCCACCACUUGCUCCUACACCUUAUUUAAUUACAUAUUCCUCAGCAACCCAUCCUUUCAAGUUUUACAACAUAUCAACUUUUCUCAUGUUACAUGAAUUUUUCAUGCUUGGACUCUAAUCAUAUAGCACAACUGGAGGGUCACCAGUGGUUUAUUGUGAAGCUGAAAUAAGUUCUAGAAAACCCUAAACCAUAAUUUCAGGUGAAUAUUUUAUAGGUUCAAAAAUUAGGUUUUCAAAAUUUAUAUACAUGUAUGUAUGUAUAUAUGACCGUACAAGAUGAUUUCAGAAUUUCAUUUAACAGGCAUAUAACUUUUUUUGAAUGAUGUGCUUUUAACUGAAAUACUUCUAUAACAAGCAACAGGAUGAGUUCUAUUUUCUGUGAGUUUGACUUAUCUUCUUAUUUUCUUUUCCCUAUGUUAUUAUAUCCCAUUUUUCACUUGAAUGGCCUUCUAGAAGGAACUUGGAGACACUGAGAGUUUAGACACCAGCAAAUUUAUAGAUAUUAUGAAAUAUGCUGUUUGCUCAUACAGAUUUAACAAAGACGACAUCACCAUGCAGAUAGAACAUCUAUAUUGAAAUACUGAAAGCAUCGAUAUUAAAAUGGGUUGAGAACACACAAUGUACAUUUCCAUUUUACAUGUAAGGAAAAAUAUAUAGAAGAAAGAGCCAAUAAAAGAGAACCAUUUAUUGCAGUUAAGUUAUACGCUAACCAAUAAAGGGAGGCAGACACACCAGAAAGUUUAGUUGAGGCAUGCACCUUUAUUAGAUUGAGUACAAUAAUUGGAUUUCCAUAUCUCUUAGCCAGGUCUUCAAAAUGCAACUUGGUUGCUUGGUAUGUUGGAUCAUAUCUCUGCACUGAAGCCAAGUAAAAAUAGGGGCAUCAAACAGCUUUUUUUGCUAAAGCAAAUAUCUGAAAAUCUAAGCAGUGGAAUGGUGCAAUGCACCAAAAGAUGAAUAAACAAAUACAGAGUUAAAAUCAAUCGACAUAAUCAAGCUUACAUUUCAAUCAGCGGAUUUCUUUAUACAUUCUUCCUAUUUUAUACAUUAUCUUUCUCUUUUGUUCCAUAUCUCCAUUCCUUAUUCAGAUGUGAUCUUGUUUUUUUAGUCUUCUCUGUGUCAAUACUAAUACUACCAUAUAAAGGAGCUUAUCGAAAAAUUAAAGAAAAACUUACAGAUAAUAUCAGGUUUGGGACUAAAUCUUGAAGCUUCCUGCGACCAGAAAAGGGGGAUUGAACCUCGCAUCUGUACAACUGAACUCAUUUUUCCCCAGCAUGAUCCAGCUUCUUCGUCAAGGACUAUUUGUUCAGUUUCUACAUCAUUUGCAACUCUGCCCCGAUCAUUAACUCCUCUUUUCAAAUACCUGCACACCAAAAAAAGAAAAAAAAGGUAAAAAUGGAGAACAACAAAAAGCAACUGCUAUAUGGCCACUUUCAUGAGGUCCAUGAUCAUCACAUAGAAAAAAAUAUCAAUGAAUUGUUAAAUACUUUAUUUUGUUAGUGAAUGUGAAUUGAAGUGGCUAGUAGGGUUUUAAUUUUCAAAGUUGAUAAGAGAAGAACACUUUUCUAAAGCAGUUAUCAUAUUUGAAGUAAUAAUUGCUCAAGAAUGAUAUGGUUCAGAUACCGAUUUUUUCUUAAGAAAAAAGUAAUUUGUCAUCCUACCAAGGUCUGCUUUCAAAACUCAUGAAAAAGAUAAAGAACUUCAUAAUAGAUACUCAUGUCAAAGCAGGGACUCAACAUACUUAAUGAAAUUGAAAGGAGUAUAACCCAAGGCCGGGAUGGAAUGACCCUAUUGUGUCCCAACACUUGGAACAGCCUCGCCUCCUGGGACACCAAUUUUAUUAAUUUAUUUUUCAUUCUUGUUUUUAUUGAUUUUGCCUGCAUGUCAUGGUACUUUCCCAUACUGUAGCAACCUGGCCCCAGUACCAACAUUCAAAUCCUUGAUAACCAGAGGCAUUAGCAAAAGUCAAAUUUUCAAGUCAACUGAGAUUACAUUUAUUGAUAAUUCUAACCCCACAAAGAAAGGAGCAUAUGACGUCAAAAUCAAAAGUACUUCUAGGUUUUCUAAAGUUCUGGGUUAUUGAAUAAUGAUCAUCAGAUAGAUACCUAUCAUGUGAUUGUUACCACCUAGAUUAAGUUGGAUGAGAAGUACCGUGUCCCUGCAAAAUGACGAGACCGUCUAGAUACGAGGGAAACAUUAAAUUCUCGCCCAAAAAUUGAUAACUUGACCUGUAAUCAACAAAAACCAUAUCUAACAUAAGUAUUUCUGAUAAGACAAUACAAUAAAAUACAAUUACUUUUGCAUAUGAAAUGACAUUCAGGGGAUGUUUGGUUGUUCUCUUUUACUAAAUGGAUACACACAAAAUUAGUUGCUGUUUGGUUGUUCACCUUUACUAGAUUUAAAAAAAAUGAAACUAAAUGAUUUACAAAAUCAACUGUGUCAUUGCUCUUCGUGAAACCUGUUUCAUAUAAAACUGAUAGCCCAUUAAAAAUGAAGCAUGAGUCUUAAGAGAACAUGCCUCUCCCUGUUUUCACAUAAUUAUGUUUUACAUGUAGCCACGUCUCAUGAUUAUUUGCUUUGACAUAACUCACAUAUAACCAAACAGCUGCUUAGGGCUUGACUAAUUUCAAGAUAUCAACAACCUAUACAUAAUGACAUCAAUAAAUUCACAGUGAUAUGUAUUUUUCAAGCACUACAACCAUGGCAAGGCUCAAUAACAUGCUAGCAGUCUGCUACAUCUUUACUUUCUCAAAGAAUAAUCAAUUUAAAAGAAGAGGUAUAAAUAAGUGUAUUCAUGCUUGGCAUUAGUGAAAUACAGAUACCAUUAUGCUAUCAAAUAACAUAGUUACAUGUGGGUUUAGUAGAAAACUAGCAUUCAUGGUCAAAGUUAUAUUGGAAACUUAGAUUUUAUUCUCAAAUUAUUUCUAAAUCAGUGACAAUUUUCUGCAACUUUUAUAAAGAAAUAAAAUGCAUACAAAUUUCAUGUUAGCCACAUCAUGUAUAACCAAUCAUUCUGUUUACAUACUCUGCUCAGUCUUCUCCUGCAAUGCAUCAUAUGCCUUAGAGAAUUAAGAUUUUUCAACAAAUGGUCCUCAAUUUUCACCUAAUUGUGACAUAUCACCCGUGUCUAUAGCGACCCCAGUCUCAAUCGGAUAAUAUUUGAAAAAUCCCUGAGAAACCCAGUGGUUAAUUAUUAGUUAGGGCACAAACAGCAAAUACAUAAUGACAUCAUCGUUUCAAGUAAAUUUCUAUAAAUACUAUAAGACUACUAGAUAAAACAGAAAAAGAGCAUUGUAAUAAUAAAGGAUAUUGCACAUCCUGAUCAUUGUAGGAUAUACUUUUCCAAGUUAGAAGAGCAUGUAUAUUAAAUUUCAAUUGAGGUGGGUCCCUCCUCCAUCAUGACCAUCUGAUGGAUAAAUCCAUCAGAUUCACUUUUCUCUAGAUAAAGAUAUGAGUUGUAGGUACAGUAUUGUCGGCCUUUGCAAUAGAGAUAUAUCACGGACCUACACUAUCACCAUUAACUGUGCCACUUAACCUACUAAUUUUGGUCAGUGGGCCCCUAGAAUAUCUGAUGCUUUAGGUUUUAGCUUGAGUCAAAGUGUUUCACAAAAAAAUUGCAGCUUUCCAAUAAAGUAUAUGAUAUGAAAGAGAUAAUUGAACUGAAAACCACCAUUUUGAGCAAAAAAUUGUUUGAAUGAUUUUCAUUAAAUUUUUAACUAACAAUUAACAUACCUUAACUUCCACACAGAAUUUGAUUUAUGACGAAUCAAACCCCAAUUUCUAGAUUCUUUAAUAAUAAAGGAUAAAUUGAGAUUCCCCUAAAAUAGGAUCAAAUGGUCAAACUAGCUAUUGGGAGUGCACAAUCACAUUACAGGUCAGGCCAAGAUCCCCAUUAUAAGUAUCGUACUUGAGCCAACCAUUGUUGAAGAGGACUCAUGUGAAGAGCUGCAAAGCAAGGAGAAAGUUUUGGUAUGGAACUAGAGGACAUAGGAGAACUUAGGAGGUAACAGGUGAAUGCUUAACAGUUGGACAUGAGCGAAGAAGAGUAAAGCAUGAAAGUAUUAUACAUUGUAUUUAGCAACUCAAAACAGUGCGAGGAAUAAGAUCUCAGCUCUAAGCAGAUGAUUUUUGGACGCAGAUCAUUAUCAAAAUUUGUACAUCACUCAUUACUCAUGCAAAAGUAAUAAACCAAAGUGGGUAGAGGUGGAAACGGCAAUGCGAUUGGGACUGGAUCCAAGAAAGAGACCCAAGUGAUGGGUGAUGACAUGAGAAAUUUUGACCUUGAGGAAUAUGAAAAGUAUAUAUAAGAUUGAUUAAGGCAUAGAAUCAGGGAACAAUUAUCAUAGAGCAGCAAUGGUACAAAAAAAUAGUCUAAGCUCUCUUUUUGCAUGUCUUUUUUUUAGAAUUUUAUUUAAUGCAUUAACUCAUCUUAUGGCGGAAUAAAUUGCUGAUGCUAUUUUCUGCUUCACUUUAUAAAAAAUUGUAAUCAAUUUGUAGUUACUAAUAAAUUUGCAGAUUCUAGUAAAUAAGUAGUAAAUCAAAGAUUCAAAAUAAGAAAUGGUCAGGAACUUGUCCAGUACAAGAUAGGUUAUUGACACAAGCACAUCAGCCAGAAAGAAGAAGAUAUUGGGUACACUACAUGUGUAUGAAAAAGGAAAAUAUGAAUGAUAACAAAAAUACAACUCUCAAUACCAUUAAAAAGGCUAUCUUACCUGCUUGAAGUGCCCGUGGACCAAGGCUAUAGUCCAGAGAGUAUUAUUGCACCUUGAUCGUAUAGCUUGUGUCAGAAAUUCAUUCCAUACGAACAUGUUCUCAUAUAACAUCUUCUCCCCACCCGAUGCAAGGACAUUUUUCUGUAAGCUUUGCAUGAUGGGAUAUGUGUAACUAUAGUAGAAAUCCUUCGUGAGAUCAACGCUAGAUAAAAGCUUCUUGUACCUGCGACAAAAAAGGAUAGAUUCUUAGGCAGGAAGCAAACAUGUUGAUGUCAGGACUGAACAUAUAUGAAAGUGCUUAGUUGAUAACAAACUUGUUAUUCUUACAGGAUAUUGGGAAAGGAAGGGAAAUAGGAUUAUACUCAACAAACAUUGCAUCUAGAGGGAUCUGAUUAUUAUUUUUAAAUGUUUCCUGUGUAAAGAUUAUUUUAAAUGACGAAUCUGAUUUCAGCUCCACGACCUCAAAAGUUGCAAAUAUCUUGAACAGAUGAAGUUAUGGACUUUAGUAGAGCUACUUAUCAACACACAGAAAGGAGGGAAUAACAUGGUAGUGUGUAACAAGGUGAAAGAAUUAUCAAAGUGGUGGCGCAUUUAGAGAGUAAAUGAGCUUGCUUUGGUAUCAAUUGAAUGAUACAGUACAUGAGCAAAGAUAGAUUUUUGAACUCAUGAUACUAAAAUGCUCUGUAUCAGAUAUAAUUCCACACCUAUUCCAGUUCAUUAACCAUCUUUAACUCGUCAUUUAAGUAGCGGCCCAGGAAGGCCAAUGUAUUUCUUAGAAAAAAUGCUGAUUUUGAUGCUUAAGAUCUAAAUUAUACGAGAUAGAACACUACCGAAGCUCCGUUUUGGAAUGGGCGACAUCAGACUGUAUCGAUGAAUGGGGAAUGGUGAUCAGUUGACUUUCAUCAAUGCUAUAAAUCCCAUGUCCACAUAUAGACCCAAUCUGACGACGCUUUGUAACCAGAAUCAGAUAGUACGACUCCAAAAACUUGAUGCAGCCUUACAAGAACAAAAAUAAGGCACCAAAUUCAAUAAAAAUGUCAUCUCUAAGACUAAAUUAAACAAAAUUGAAGAGCACACUAACAAAAUUUGAACCUGCAAUGCCAUAGACCUUCACGACGAAGGUGAGACCGCCGGUGGCUCGAUUACCCUCGCUGAUCCUCUGGAGGAGGUUCUUGACCUCCUGUGGCGAGUACACCACGGGGUCCUCACUGAUGUUCAGAUCGGAGGGUUCGGAACGGUCGAUCUUAAGCACCCGGAAGAACCGCUUCUCCCGAUCGCUCCCAAUUAGGUAAAAUCUCUGCAACAAUCGCAACCAAAAGAACCGCAAUUAAACCUAAAUCCAUCUCAGAACAAUAGGAGAAAUCGAUGCGCGAGGAAAAGGGUGGGUACCGCGCGGGUCUCGUAGAGACGGAACUUCUCGAGAGAGCAGGAGUUGGGAUCGAAGUCUUGGUCGGCGAGCGGAGAAGGCGGAGGUGGCUUCUUCGCGAGGGCGGAGGGGUUUUGCUUGGGAUUCUCGGCUUUAGCCAUGACGACCGUCGCGGUCGGGCAAAGACGGUUAGGGGCUGGGGGGUCAUAUUAUAUAGUCUUCGCCUGGAGGUAACAGAAAGACUCGUUUAUGGAUUAGCUUGGGUGGUUUGGGUUUGGUUGGGUUGAUUGAUAGGCAGAACGGUUAAAAAGCAAAGAUCCAGAGUACUGUGGGGGCUGUUGGCAGUAAAAUUUUUGAAGAUAAAGUUAUUAAAAAUAAAAUUUUUUGAAGCAAAAUUUUUAUAAAAAAAUAUUUAUUAUUUAAUAAUUAUAUUUUUAAAAUACCGUAACACUUUAAUAUAUAUUUGAUAAACAAACUAAGAAAGUAAUUUUGUAUGACAAAAUUAUCAUAAAGAACAUUGCAUAGUAUUAUACAACAGAGCAUAAUAAAAUAUAAUAUAUAUUAAUAUAUAAAUAUAUGAUAUAGUAUAAUAUUACUGUACUAUAAUAUAAUAUUAUUAUAAUAUAGUAAUAUAACAUUAUAUACUGUAGAAUAAUAAUUUAAUAUAAUAUUAAAUUAUUUAACAUAACAUAUCAAUAUAUUAUGAUAUAAUGUAAUACAAUAUUAUACUUAUAGUAUAAUAUAAUAAUAAAGGUAUAAAAUAUUAUAGUUAUUAGUGUAUAUUAAUUUUUCAUAAUAUAACAAAAUAUUAAAUUAUUUAAUAUAACAUAUUAAUGUAUUAUGAUAUAAUGUAAUAUAAUAUUAUAUUUGUAGUAUAAUACAAUAAUAAAUGUAUAAAAUAAUAAUAGAAAACAAGCAUACUUUUUCUUGUACGGAAGGGAGUUUGAUCCACGGCUAGGGUUCUUUGUUAGGAUUUCAUCAGAUUUUUAGAUUUAUAAAGGGACAAAGUAUGUAAUUGUUAUAUUCUAUUAUGGGUAUUUUGGUCAAAAAAACAGCUUUCCGAUAAAGCUCAAAAUAGUUUUUUUGGAAAGCUCCAAAAUGGAGCUAUCUCAAAAAGCUAUUUUUAGCUUUCUGGAAAAGCUAAAACAACUUUUCGAAAUUUUCAUCCAAAAAUACUUUUGGAUGGCCAAAAGGUGCUUUUUUUUGGCCCUCUAAAAGCUCUCCCAAACGGAAUCUGAAUAUGUCUGAUCCUAUAAGUUGAUCAAAUAAGCUAUACAAUUAAAAAUUUCUUUUAUUUCUCCUUAUUAUUAUGCAAAUUAUUUGGCAUGCCGAAUAUCCUUGAGUGAUUCAGAAGGAUGAUGUAAUGCAUGAAUGCGAAAUAAUAAAGCGAAUAUUUGAUGGAUGGAUAUUAGGCAUUUGCUUGAUGGAUGUGAUACCAUCAAAAAAUAAUUUAAAAUUUAUUUUUUUCCAGCCAUUCAAUAAGUGCAACUUGCAAUAUUGAUUCAAGCAGAAAGUAUUGUGACGUUCUCAUCAUAUAUGUACUAGCAAACUUUUUGCUCUGCAUCGGACUAGUAUCAUUCAUGCGAUUUAUUGUCUGAAGAGUUUCACAUCUGAAAACAUCUGACACAAGUGAACAAUAAUCGGCAUGGUGAAGUGCUGGUUACAAUAAUAGAAAAACAGAGAGGAAGAUGGAAGAUAGAAUGAGGGUGAAGAUUGUAGAGAUUUUUUAUUCACCGUAUUGAGUUGUGAUACAGGGUACUUAUCUAGGGGAAUUGAAGCUUCCGGAAUGCAGUUAAUAAGCUGUUAGAACACAGCUGUAUUAGUUACAGGAAACUGAUUCUGGUAGUCAGUUUUAGAGAAGAAUGACGUGGCAUUCUAACACCCCCCAUCAAGCUGAAGGAGGUGUCUUAAGCUUCAGCUUGGAGCAAAGAUGACGAUGUCUUGGAAUGGAGACCGGUUUGGUGAACAGAUCUGCUGGUUGAUCCUGAGUGGCUAUAUGAGCCAAGUGAAUUUCGCCGGAAUGGACCUUUUCUCGGACAAAGUGGUAAUCCACUUCGAUGUGCUUGGUCCGGGCAUGAAAGACUGGAUUGUUGGCCAGAGCAAUGGCGGAUAUGUUGUCACAAUGUAGAACCGUGGGUGCUGAAGGCAAAACCUGAAAUUCGGAGAGAAGUCUUCGAAGCCAGAUGAGUUCGGAUGCUGUGACUGCCAGAGCUCGAUACUCAGCUUCUGUAGAUGAUCGUGCUACGGUUGGUUGCUUCUUAGCAUGCCAAGAAACCAGAUUGGGCCCAAGAAAUAUGCAAAAACCGAUGGUUGAUCUGCGAUCAUUGGAAUCACCUGCCCAAUCGGAGUCAGAAUAGGCAGCUAACUGAAAAGAGCUUGGCUGAAAAUGAAGAGAUGAAGAUAGUGUGCCUUUUACAUAUCUAAGAACCCGUUUGAUCAACUGGUAGUGAUAGUCAAGCGGGGAAUGCAUAAAUUGGCAUAGAAAGUUGACUGAAAAUGAGAUAUCAGGACGAGUGACGGUGAGGUAUUGAAGAGAACCGGCUAAGCUCCGAUACAGUUCUGGUUUGGAAAACAGACCAGAUGCAUGCUUUGGAACCUCACGCUUGGUGGGUAAUGGUGAGGAAACCAGUUUGCAGUCCUGUAGUCCAGCCCUCUGAAGAAGUUUGAGAGCAUAGUGUUGUUGGCUGAGUGAAACACCAUUGCCAGAGAAAGUGGCCUGAAGCCCAAGAAAUUGAGAGAUGUUGCCCAGAUCUUUCAUAUGAAAUCUACUCUGUAGUUGUGAGAAAAGAAGGGACAUAGCUUGAGAAUUGUUCCCGGUGAGCAGUAUAUCAUCCACAUAGAUGAGAAUGUAAAGAAUAACUCCAUCUUUCUGAAAAAUGAACAAAGAGGGAUCUGCUGUACUUGACUUGAAACCAUGAUCCAAUAAGAAACUUGAGAAGGUUGCAAACCAUGCUCUGGGGGCUUGCUUCAACCCAUAAAUGGCCUUUUUGAGAUGGCAAACAUGAUUGGGAUAGAGAGGAUUGAUGAACCCCCGUGGUUGUUCCAUGAACACAGAGUCCUCCAAACGACCAUGGAGAAAUGCGUUGGAGACAUCAAGCUGUCGAAUGCUCCAUUUUGAGGUAAGGGCAAGAGCAAGGAGAACCCGAAUAGUAGGGAAUUUAGCUACAGGGCUGAAUGUUUCAGUAUAAUCUAUGCCAUAUUCUUGCUUGAAUUCCUGUGCCACAAGCCUAGCCUUAUACCGAGCUAGAGAUCCAUCAGAGUGAUGUUUAAGUCGGUAUAUCCAUCUGCAGCCAAGAACGUGCUGAGAAGGAGGACGAGGGACCAGUUCCCAGGUGUUUUGGACCAUCAGGGCAUCAAAUUCAUGAGACAUAGCCCUUCUCCAAUUGGGAUCUUUAACGGCCGAGGUGUAGCAGGAAGGCUCGGCUGGAUCCUCAGUAGUGUGAUGCAGAGAAAAUAUACGCUUAGGCCGUAGAGAGCCUGUCUGUAAUCUGGUGAUCAUGUGGUGAUGAGGAACAGGCGAAGUAGACAAAACGGGUGAAGAAAGAGAGGGCGGGAGUGAAGAUUGAGGUGUGGGAGUAGCCGUAGCAGAGGAAUGAGCGGAUGCAUGAGGACCUGUAUCGAAAUGCAAAGGUAGCAAGGAGGUAGAUGAUGAAGACGGGAGCAUAGAUGGUGGUACCAGACAACGAAAAGGUAGUAGAGGUGGAUGAGGCGAAACAGUUGCAUUGAAAGAGGAGUAUGGGAAGUAAGUUUCAUCAAAUUCUACAUGUCGAGAGAUAAAAACCUUCCCAGUGGUGGGAUUAAGGCAACGAUAUGCCUUGUGCUGGGAAGAAUAACCAAGGAACACACAUGGAGUGGACCGGGGUGAAAGCUUGGAAGAAACAUAAGGCUUGAGCCAUGGGUAACAUCAACAACCAAAACACUUCAAGAAUUUGUAGUCAGGUGGCCUGUGAUGCAGAAGUUCAAACGGGGACUUGUGGUGAAGUAAAGGAGUAGGCAGGCGAUUAAUGAGAUAGUUUGCAGUGAGCAAAGCUUCAAUCCAAAAUUGAGAGGGAAGAGAGGAAUGCAGUAGCAGACUCCGGAGCACUUCGAGCAGGUGUCGGUGUUUGCGUUCAGCAGCACCAUUCUGCUCAGGAGUGUAGGGAGCAGACAUUUGAUGGAUAAUUCCAUAUUGAGCAAAGAGAGAGUUAAAACGGCCAUUGUGGAAUUCACCUCCACCAUCAGAGCGAAAAAUUUUAAUGGAAGAGGAGAAUUGAUUUUCAACAAGCGAUUUGAAUUUCUGAAAAAUGGGAAAUACAUCAGAUUUUCGAGCCAGCGGGUAGACCCAAGAAAAACGAGUGAAAUCAUCAAGAAACAACACAUAAUAUUUGAAUCCCUUUACAGAAGGAGAGGGAGAUGGUCCCCAUACAUCAGAAUGAAUUAGUUCUAAAGGUUGAUUAGAGGAAAUGGAAGACGGGUUGAAGGGUCGCCUGUGACUCUUUGCCAUACUGCAGGACGAACAUGAAGGGAGACCUGAAGUAGGAGAAAGAUGAAGCCGCUUGGAGACUUGAGACUGAACAGAUGCAGCAGGAUGUCCAAGACGGUGAUGCCAAAGGGAUGCGGAUGAUGAUACUGAAGCAGUAAGUGCCUGUGGCGAUGAGGAGGAUGGAGAACGUUGAACGGUCGAAAGAGAAACUAUGUAGAGCCCCUCAGUGCAGGGACUCUGAAGGAGAGUUUUGUUGGUAAUUUUGUCCUUGACAGUGCAACCAGCAGAGUCAAAGAUUAGGAUGCAGUUGUUAUUAGUGGCAAUUUUAUGAACAGACAGGAGAUUAUGAGAAUAUGUGGGGCAUGCAAAAGUUGGGAAAGACGAAAGAAAUGAAAAGGGGUUUGAAGAAUGCCUGUACCUGACUGGCUGAUUGAAGUAGAGGACCCAUCGCCAAGCAUGAUUUUCUCUGAACCACGAUAUGACACAAGAUUUUGUAGGAGAGAAGAAUCCGAUGUCAUAUGUGUGGACGCACCACUAUCUAUAAUCCAAUUACCUGGGGAAGAUUCAGAGGAGGAAUGUGCAAUGAGAGCCUGAGGACGAGGAGUAGAUAGGGAUGACACAUGGUAGUUAGGAUCCAUUCGGAACCAACAAUAUUGUGCCGUGUGCCCUCUUUUGUAGCAAAUUUGACAUUCAACAGGUGAUCGUUGAUCCCUGCUCCGGACAGAUGAAGUCCAACUUCCUAAUCGAGAGCGACCUCUGCCUCUGUUGACAUAGGAAAAGCGUCCUCGGCCUCUUCCUCUGGAGGCCAGCAAAGCAAAAGCUGAAUCACCUGCGGUAGCCUGCUUGUCCUUAGCAGCAAGAAUAAUUUCUUCACUGCAUAACAGAGCAUAGAGCUCAUCUAGAGUAAUGGAGGAUGAGCGUGUCCGAAUGGAUGUAGCAAACGAGUCAUAUGCAGGUGGAAGCCCGUUGAGAAUAUAAAGGAUGACGUCUUCAACAUCCGGAAUCGAGCCAGCUGCAGUCAGAGCAUCGACUUUCUCACGAACACCAUAGAGAUAUUGUUGCAUGGAAAGUUCAUUUUUCUUGAUAUUAUGAAGUCCAUUUUUGAGCUGAACUAUAUGGGAUCUGGUGGUAGAAUUCAGACGAACCUCCAAAGUAGACCAAAUUUGGUCACAAUGAUCAAGGUUGAUCACAAACGGUAAAACAGUGGAAGAGAUGGUAGAGGUUAGUGCUGUGGCUAGGAACUGGUCAGUGAAGGACCAAGCUUCAAAUUCAGUGGAUGUGGAUAGGGAAGAAGGUUUUGCAGUUCCAUCAAGGAAACCAAAAAAGCCACUAGCCUUGAAAAUCCUGGUAAUAUGAGAUUUCCAGGUUAGAUAGUUAUCCGAAGUGAGUUGAUUAGAUACCAGGGAUUGUAUUCGUGUGACCAAAAAUUUUAGAUUGGGAGAUAUAGCUAAAGUGGAAGAGCUCCUGGCAACUUCGUCGGACCUGUUGACGGAACCAGGAGAUGCCAUUGUUUGGUUUCUGAGGGAGGGCAGAACUACUUCGAGGUUGAAGCAGUCAGAUAUAAACUCAUACAAAGCUGUAAACCAUAGUUCUUAUCUCAGCUGAGCAGUAUUUGGAUCGUGCAUGAGAUGAAGCGCUGGAUCCCUGCUCUGAUACCAUGAAGAGUUUCACAUCUAAAAACAUCUGACACAAGUGAACAAUAAUCGGCACGGUGAAGUGCUGGUUACAAUAAUAGGAAAACAGAGAGGAAGAUGGAAGAUAGAAUGAGGGUGAAGAUUGUAGAGAUUUUUUAUUCACCGUAUUGAGUUGUGAUAUAGGAUAUUUAUCGAGAGAAAUUGAAGCUUCCAGAAUGCAGUUAAUAAGCUAUUAGAUCACAGCUGCAUUAGUUACAAGAAACUGAUUCUGGUAGUCAGUUUUAGGAAAAAAUGAUGUGGCAUUCUAACAUUGUCGAACACAAAGCAUUCGUGGACUAUAAAGUUGCCAAAUCCAUAUUUACAGAACUGAAGAACAUUUUUGUUAUGUAUAACUGGCACUUCGAAGUGUUUUUCUUGAGUGAAAAAAGUUUUUCUCUUGAUACACAAAUGACACAUUUGGAAUCUAAUUUUAUUUUCAUUCUCUCAAUGGAUAAAGUGAGUUUAAGAUGUGUGAAAAUAGCUAAAAAUAAUGCAUAUUUAUGAAAGCUUCAUCAUAGGCACCAUGAUUGAUAAGUCGCAAUGCUUUUAUGACCAUACAUAGUAAAGAUGGAUAUAAUUUAGAGAAUCAUAAUCUACCUAUUUAAAUAAUUAAUAUACAUAUACAUGGCACUCUUUUAUUUUAGCUUUAUUUAUUAAUUACUAGUUUCCAACAUUUGAUGCACACAACUUGGAAGAAAUAGAUGGGGAGAGGGAGGAUAAAAAAAGGGAGAGUCAAACUUAGGAUGGAAUGACUUACCUUUCUUAGAGUUAGCAUUAUUAUAGUAGAGAUAUGACCAAAAGAAAUACAAAUAAAAUUUCUCAAGCAUUUUUGUAAAUAAUACUGAUAUAAAUAGACUUUACAAUAAUCUUAAAGAAGUUUUGACACCAAAACAAUGUAGAUCAUAUAAUAGUAAGGAUUCUUUUGUUUUAUGAGAAUGAAAGAAACAUACUUAGAUGAUGGGAUACUCCUUAUAGGCAUAAUCUUUGGUAGGCUAACCUGUUAGAUGUAUGCCCNNNNNNNNNNNNNNNNNNNNCCGGGCCCGGCAUGCGGAUUCCGCCGCGAACGUCGCGCCGCUGUGGGGCAAUCCAACAUAACCUAUCUCUUUAGCAUUGUUUGCGAGUGAUAUGAAUUGUUCUAGAACUAUUCUUCCUUAUUUUGAUUAUUGUAUUAUUUAAAAUAAAUAUAUAAAUAGUAUAAUUUGUGCAAUAAUCAUGGAAUAGCAUGAAUUAUGGAAGCUAAUAAAAAUGAAUUGCAUAAGAGGUAUAUUCAUAUAAUAUAAUUAGAACACUACAAAAGUAAGAAAUUUCCAGUGGACCUUAUGAAUAAAAUAUAAGGUAUUUUGUGUGGAUAUGCUCAUAUUGUUAUUAUAUGAGAGAAAAAUAUAUCAUUUUAGACAUUAUUAUAUGAGAGGAGAAUAUAUCAUUUUAAAUUCUGUCUAUCAAAUUUUUUGACUAAAAUAUUCCUAGUUCCUCUUUUUACAAAUAUCUACAAUGAAGAAGUUAGCCUCUAUUUAUUCCUUUUCCUCUAUGUCUCAUAUCUACAGGUUUUUCUAGACAUCCUAACGAGUAUUCUAUUCUAAAAAAGAUUCUCUAUACAACUCUUAUCUACACCCCUGACUAAUUAUACUCUUUUUAAAAUUUAAAAACAAACAUAUUAUAUAUCUAAUCCAUGUACAUCAUCCCUCUUAUCCUCCAAUUUUUAAGUUCUUUUUAUAUUAAUUUACGUUUAAACAUGCAUUGCAUAUAUGUGUUCAUUGCUAGUAUAAUAAUAAAUCAAGGCUCGUCUUCUUGAGUUCAUAAACACAAUUCAUGAUAAGCAUCAUAUUUUCUUUAGUUGGGCAAAUGGUGUUGAUAGUUGCAGUAGAUGGAAUAUUAAAAUAUUUAAAUCUAAAGUUGUUUUCACCCGAUUUUGGCUGGGCUUCCUUCCUUCAUAAUUAUCUUAACAAAAGAAAAGGAAAAAUUUUAGAAUUUUUUUAUUACUCAUUAUUCUAACAGAUUAAAAGUGGGUCGAGAUACUCUCUCUUUAUGGCAAUCACUUGUGCCUAUCUCAUUAUAUAAAAUGAUUGAUAGCUACUUUGGCUUUAGAAAUCGGUAAUCUUACAAAAGUAUUUAUAAAACAUAUAUAAAACAAAAUCAUUUUUCUGAUUCCACAGAUGAAUAUAAUUAUCCGUAAAUAUCUGUAUUAUACUCAAUAGCACUAAUAAUAAAGAAAAAAAAGAAUACACCCUGCAUUGUAAUAAGUUAUGUUAUGCCAUUGCUUUCACCAAUAAUACUGAUCGAAUACUAGUUUGGACAGAUAUUUUAAGUUAGUUAAUGAUAUUAGUUACAAUUUAAACUAGAGAAACUUCGAUAACUCCAACACAAAAAUAAAAUAAUAGAUUAAAGGUGAGUAAAAAACUCUCUCCUUUUGUUAAAACAAAAUUCCAACUAGAUAAGAAGAAUGUCAAGAAUUGCUUUUACUUUAGAAAUAAGUAAUCUUACAAAUAAUAUUGAAAAACAUGUCUAAAGCAAGCCAGUUUGUUGAUUCCACUCCUUUUGUAGUAUAAAAUAUAACCAUUUGCACUGUAAUGAUUUUAAUGGUGAGAUAAUAAUUCUCUCGUUGGUAAAAUUUAAAGAUAGGUAUACUUUUCUCUCUUUCAACCACUCUACAUAACCACUCCUCAAGAUAAUAUCCUUCUCUCUCUCUCUCAUUAUCUUAUUUUUAAAAAUUUUAUCUAUCAAGUUCAUAUUGUUGAUCAGCAUAUUUUUUUCCCUUAAACAUAGAUUUGCAUGUAAUGAGUAUUAGUUGAAAUAAAAAUAUUUACACUCAUGUUCCUCAUUUACAUGUCCAUAAGGAUCGGAGAGUAGCCAUUAGGAAAAAAAAUGUCUAGAGACAGAGAUGGGAGGGGGGGGUUUGCAAAAGCUCCACCUCUUUUAUUGGAUGCGAGCAGAAAUAAAAUCCAACUCUCUUGUAUUAAUAUAAGAUAAUUUAUUGACUUUAUUAAUUGGCAUAGUUAUCGAAUACGAUAGAUCAAAAUUAGCAUUUUGCAGGUAAAGAAGCAUGCAUUGUUCAUGAAUAGUUAUGAUUUGACCAAUAAUGCUAUAUCUUGUUCAUCUUUAGGUGAUAAAAACACUUCCAUUUUAUUAAUUACUUUCCUUUCAAGCUAUCUCUCUCUCUAUUUUCGCUCAACCUGUAACAAUAGCACACCUAGUGAUCCAAAAAGAACAAAAGAAGACAUGAAAAAAAAAUAGUUAAUGAGCAAUUUUACAAAAAUAGUUUUUAAGGUCAAAAGCUUUAAGUUUUAGAUGCAAUUUUUAGAACAUUGUGCCCCACUAAUAAGGUGUUUGCUUUUUUGUUAUGACCAUGGUUCAAACUCUCUCACAUUUGGCUUUGCUAAAAUUUAAAGCCUAUUCUCUUGGAUUAUAUUUUCAUUUCUAUUUGUAUAAUUUUAGAAAUCACAUAACAAUUUAUAUCAUUUCAUAUCAUUUUUUUUGUUAGCGUAAUUUUGUAUCGGUCAGUAUUAUUUUUCUUUGUUAGCAUAAUCUUUUUAGAGUGAUUUUAGGGAUCACAUAACAACUUGUAUUAGCAAGUAUUAUUUUCUUUAUUAGCAUGAGUUUGUAUCAGUCUAUAUUAUUUUUUUUGUAUGGAGUCUGUAUACGAGUAUUUAUAACCCCUGAGAUAUACCGAAUAUGAUAGAGCAAAGAAAUAAAAUCACUUUUCUCUCUCUUUUUGUCUUGCUUUCAUUUUCUUCUACAAAUAUUUUAAUAAGUUCCCAUCCAGGUCGACUGAAGCUCUUUUAUGGGGUAAAGGUCCGAGUCCGGUUAAGCAAAGGUCUAGAUCUGGUUCGAGCAAAGAUAUGAUAGUCCAUAUCUAAAUGAAAAAGAAAAAUUUGUAGCCACUAUUCAAUCUACCACCCUUUUAUGCAUGGCUAAUGUAGGACUAAAUAUCCUGCAUUUAAAUUGAGAAACUUGAGUCCCCAACCAUUAUGCACCUGCUUGCAUUUCCUCAAGAAGCAUAUGAAGCCUCUUGGCAUUCAAGAUUUUGGAUCUGAUUAUAAGCUCUAGAUUUGAACUUAAUUGGCUCAAAUUGUCGAAUGCAUUUGCGUAUACAUGAUUUAUAUUAAAAUGAUUGAGUAACUCAAAAAAUGUUAGUGUGUUGUAUUUGUAUGGCUCCCUUUGAAUUGGCGUCACGAAUUAUACCAUAUAAUGAAGCACCAUGAAUGGUGCAGAAAAAAUGAGUAAAUUUUUCGCGCUGACUUUUUGAAGUUACCUAAGCAAUACUCUUAAAUAAAACCAUGAUAUAAUUUAAUGGUGAAGGGGUGAGCGCCAACCAAAGGUAUAGACUUAGUAGAAGCAAUAGCCAAAGAAACAGACGGAGAGAGAGCAAAUUAUAACAGUUUUGAAACAUGCAUUGCUUUCUUAGUUUACUAUUACAAAAUCAAAGUUGAUAACCUGAGCACUCAUCCAAAACUGUUUAGUAAAAUGGAUGACUUAAUUAGGUAGACAGAACACACAGUUCCUGAAUCGGCACCAUUCUUUUACAGCGUCGACCAUCCGGUAUGGAGUCCGGUUUGGCAUAUUAUAUCAGUACGUCCCUCAUAUUAUAUAUCGAUUCGAUACUGAUAAAGUCCAAACGGUCCAACCAAUAUAUUGAUUCGAUGCUGAUUUCAAGUACCAUCUUACAUUCUCUCAAACUAUCUUAUGAUCUUCCAAUCCCAAACCAUCUUAUUUCCCUAUAUAUUAUUAAUGAUCUCCGGAAGUUGGUUCUAACCCUAUCAGACCCAAAUAGACUUAAUACAAUCCGACAAAAUUUAGUUCAUCUAGUACCUUAAAUUUGCUUGAAACCAACACUAACUGUGACCUGACCGGACCCACAAAGUAAUGGAACAAAUGGUGGGCAAAAGACUCGCUCUGGUCAAGGUUGGAUCCGGAUUAACUUGGACCCGAACCUAAGCCUAAAUCCUUGUCCCCAUUUUUAUUAUAAAUUACAACCGUAAUCUAAAACUAUAUUAAAUUUCGAUCCAAACCCAAACACCAACCGAUGCUCUCCCAGGCACCAGACCGCGUGCUCACUGCGCGUCAAUUUCCUUCGAAGUUCGAACACCCAAUGGCUUCACGACCACUACCCAGUUUCAAACCCAAAGGCCAAAGCCCCUCUCUCUCUCUCCUCUCCCCGCCAGCCACAGUUUAAUUUUUCUCUCCUUGGAGCCUUCAACCUAUAAAGACCUCCUCCAAUUCUCCACCAAAACCCAGUCUUUGAUCCGAGGAAGACUGGUUUACUCUCACAUGAUAAGAACUUCCUACAGGCCCGGCCUAAUCUUGUACAACAAUCUCCGUAAUAUGUAUUGUAAGCGUGGUGAUCUUUCCACCGCUAACCAACUGUUCGAUAAAAUGCUCGUUAGAGACGUCGUUACAUGGAAUUCGCUCAUGGCGGGAUAUUCUGAAGUUGCCUAUGUCGAUAAAGCCUUGGAUGAGUUUGCUAAGGGUAGAAAGGCAAAAAUCAAGCUUGACCGAAUCAGUUAUGCAAGUGCCCUCAGUGCCUGUGGUGAUCACGGGGAUGCCCAGAAGGGGAGGAUAGUUCAUGGGUUAGUGGUGGUGAGCGGGUUGGCUAGUCGGGCAUUCUUGACUGAUUUGCUCAUUGACAUGUACUCAAAAUGUGGUAGAAUAGAUGAUGUCAGGUUGGUGUUUGAUCAUGCAGAGGAAUUAGAUGAGGUUUCAUGGAAUUCAUUACUCUCUGCUUAUGUCCGGGUCGGAUGGCCAGAGGUGGCCACGAAUAUUCUUGUUUGGAUGCAUCGGUCAGGAGUGAAGCUGAAUAGCUUUGCUCUUGGAAGUAUCCUCAAGGCUUGCUCAGGUUUUAAUGAUUCUGAGGAAGUUCAAAAGAUGUUGCAUGGGUGUGUAGUUAAAGUUGGAUUAGACUUGGAUAUUUUUGUAGGUAGUGCAAUGCUUGACGUGUAUGCGAAGAAUGGUGGAUUGGAAGAAGCAAUUAAGGUCUUUGAAUGCAUACCAAAUCCAAGUGUGGUGCUAUUCAAUGCCUUGAUUGCUGGAUUCUCUCGAUUGGGGACCAAACAAUGCAAUGCAGUCAGAUUUGAUGCUUUAAGACUAUUCUCUGAAAUGCUAAGGAGGCGAAUGAGACCCUCAAAGUUUACAUUCAGCAGCGUGCUUGAAGCCUGUAACUUAAUUAAAGCAUUCAAAUGUGGGAAGCAAAUCCAUGCACAUAUCAUUACAAAUGAUCUUCAGGAUGAUGAGUUUGCUGGAAGUUCAUUGAUCACCCUGUACUCAAACAUGGGUCAGAUUGAAGAUAGCUUCAGAUGUUUUCAUGCUACUUCUAAGAAAGAUAUUUUCACUUGGACAUCCAUGAUCUCAGCAUGUGUUCUGAAUAAGCAUUUUGAAAGGGCAUUGAGUUUGUUUAAUGAAUUGCUGGGCCUUGGAAUAAAGCCUGAUCAGUUCGCUAUAUCAACUAUCAUGAGGGCUUGCUCAAAUUUGGGUAUUUUGAGGAUUGGUGAGCAGAUACAAGGUUUCGCCAUGAAAGCAGGACUUGAUCAGUUCACUGUUUGUGGCAAUUCACAGAUAAACAUGUAUUCUGAGUUGGGAGAUAUCAAUGCUGCUAUCAGGACAUCUCAGAACAUUGGGAGCCUUGAUGUUGUGUCUUGGUCUACAAUAAUCUCAAGCCAUGCGCUACUUGGUUGUGCAACCGAUGCUAUAGGGCUCUUUGAGAAAAUGAUGGAAUGCAUGGUCACACCAAAUGACGUCACCUUCCUUGCUGUUCUAACUGCUUGUAGCCAUGGUGGACUGGUGGAUGAAGGAUUCAGGUACUAACUCCUCUUUCUGAUAAGUUACUGAACUUUGAAAUUUUAUAGGACAUGCUAACUAGUCAGUUGGUCUUCCUAUUACAAAUCCUCCUCCUAGUUUUAAUGCUAGGCCACCUGCUUGCCCAAAGUUCCAAAGUUAAGAAUUCGUCACCAUUUUGUAGGAAGUUGACAUUGUUCCAAGUGUCAAUUGUAAAACAUUCUCAAACUUUGUAGAUCAUAACUUGGUUCAUGAAACCUAUGUAGUACCAGCAAUAAUGCUUGUGGGUUAAUGCUUAUGAUUUAAUCUUAAGUAGUCACUAAGAUUGUUACAGGAAUAUGUUGGACUCAAAUUCCUUUGAAAAUUCAUGAUGUAGUCAAGGUGAAAAGAAAUGAGAAAAAUAAGAGAUGCGUUCAAGUAAGGAAUUCAGUAAACAUUUCUCUUCCCUCUUAAACCAGUCAGGCCAAUUCAGAAAGACAACAAAAGGCAGUGUACCUCAAAAAUGAGUGCAAUACCUCAUAUCAAACCUUAUAUUCUUAACUUUUUGUCUAAACUCUUUUCAAACCUAAGGUAAACUCAAAUAGUAGCUUCAUGGUAGGUUUAACAUAGCUUUAAUUUAUGUAACCACUAAAAUAGGCUCUCUACCCACCAGCUGAUCUACUCGGAUAUUGCAUGGUACGACAAUCUCCUAUUCCAUGUUGCCUUGGCCUGGCUAUCAGUAUCAACUCACUGGAGGUUGAUGUGCAGAUGAGAAACGGUUGUAAAAUGCUCUCUAAUUUUGAUGCAUAAUAUGUCUAUCCAUAAACUCAAACCCAUACAGAUGAGAUAAGCCUUGUUGCUUGAGGUUUUGAUUCAUUGGGUGACAAGAAGGUAAAAAUUCACUAUAGCAAUGCCGUAUUUUUGUGGUAUGGUGAGACUCAAAGUAACACUGCCAAUGCUGGUCCAAUACCUGGAUGAAAAAGGUGGAGUGUUGAUCUUAGAGAACCACAUAAGUAAAAGAAAUGAUGAUGCUGAAGUGAUUUAAUUAAGUUCAAGUAUUUCUUGCAUGAACAUAUUGCGAAAUUAUUGUUGGAGAUUUCCCUUUGACAUAGUUUUUGUUAUUAGCUAGUGAUCCCCGAGUUGCAGCAUACAGAGUUUUAGGCCAGUCAAGGUUACACCAGUGAGACGAGCAGUUAGCAUGUAGCUUUCAGAAACAUUUUCUAAUCUGUCUCUUUAUCUGCAGGUAUUUUGAAAGAAUGAGGACAGAUUAUGGCUUAGCUCCAAAUGUGAAGCACUGUACAUGCUUGGUUGACCUCCUUGGUCGGGCUGGGAGGCUGGUCGAUGCAGAGAAUUUCAUAUCAAGCUCUGGCUUUGAUAAUGACCCAAGUAUCUGGCAUGCCCUGUUGCGUGCUUGUCAAUUCCAUGGGGACAUUGAAAGAGGUAUACGUGCAGGAGAAAAGUUAAUGGUGCUGGAGCCCUUUUCUGCUACAUCAUAUAUGCUUCUUUACAACAUGUACCUAGAUGCUGGGAAAGUUUCUUUGGCAAUGAGAACAAGAGGUUUGAUGAGAGAAAGAGGGGUAAAUAAGGAAAUUGGCAUGAGUUGGAUCGAGAUUGGAGCGUCAGUUCAUUCUUUUGUGGCCGGCAAUAACUCCCACCCCCAAAUAAAUGCAAUUUAUGCAAAAUUAGAAGUAAUGUUGUUUAAUAUAAAACAGAGGAUGAGGUAUGCUGGUGUUAAGAUUUUGGAGCUAGAGUAUAAAAGUGAGAAGUGGAAAGAUCGUUUAAUGAAUAGCCAUGGUGAAUUGUUGGCUGUGGCAUUGGGGAUGUGCUGUUUGCCAGAUUCUAUUCCAGUACGAGUAAUGAAGAACCAAAGGGUCUGCGAGGAUUGCCACACUACAUUGAAGUUAAUAUCAGAAAGUGAAAGGAGGGAGAUUGUCCUUAGAGAUCCAGUCCGGUUUCAUCAUUUCAGUUGGGGUUCGUGUUCCUGUGGGAACUACUGGUAAAUUUUAGCGGCGAGCUGAGUUAUUAGCAUUCUUCAGAAAUACAACUCCAUAUUUUUGACUGUUCGAUGAUGUGAGGAAGCAUUCUUACCUCACAUGAGUGAUAAGAGAUUACUCUCAUCUUGGUAGCAACAUAUAAUUUUAUAGAGCUAACAUAUCUUACAGGAGCCACAAUGUGCUGCUUGUUCAUGAGGAAGCCGAAUUGUCAAGUUCAUCAGCAUUUGUGAUCAUUACUGAAGUGCAAUUAAAGAGGACCAAUCUUUUAAGAAACAAAAGCAACAUCAAAGUGCUAUGAAACAUAAAUAUGUUUUCCAUAUUUGCUUGAUGUUCUGAAAAUUUGGGUUCUUAGAUGGCACUGAUGACAGUCAACAGCUUGCCAUAAGGAGGGCCUGAGUACAGGUUGAGGGUCACAGAGGGAGGUGAAGGAAGACUAGUAUCGAAAUGACAAGAAAAGACUUGAACACCUUUCUUGACAGCCCCGGCGAGGGCUUCCUGGAUACAAGUUGAAGGUUAAAGAGGGAGUUGAAAGAAGACAUCACAACAAAAUUGGGAUCGGGGAUUUAAUAACCAAUUGGAAAAGGAUUUCAUUGACUUCGAUUAGAGAAAUAAGGUUUGUUCUUUAUUUUUAUUUAUGUAGAUAAACAUUCAUUAUUGCAUGACUGCAUCCAGUUUUAUUUUAGGACACAGGAUUUUUAAGCUUGAGUUAAGAGUAAACGUUGCAAUAAGCUGGAGUAUAUUUUCUUGUAAAUUGUAGAGCUCUGUCAGCUGGCUAAUGAUCAGUAAAUUAGUAAAAUUCCCACCUGCCACAUGCAGGCAGCUCAGAUUGAAGAAUUAGAUGGAGGAACUUGAACUGAUCUUGUUGUCAAUUCACCAUCCUGUCAUUGAAUUAUUCUCUUAUCAUGGCUUUUAAACUGAUCUCAUUGUUAAUUUACCAUAAUAUCAUGCAGUUUUUUUUUAAUUUUCCUUUGUCUUUAUUUUAUAUCAUAAUCCAUUUCAUUCCAGGAUCUUUAGAAGCAAAGCCUUAUGCUUGGUAUACAUCCCUCUAAAACAUUAACCCUCAACUGUUGCUUUGGGAUGCAGUUACUGCAUUCCGUUAAUCUAAUGACAACCAUAGAAGAUUGGGUUUUUUAUCUUUAUCUAUGAACGAGUUGAGCUUCUAAGGACUCACAACCUAAAUUUUUACCAUUGCAAUACUGAUGAUGAUUUAUGAGUAUUGUAAUAAGGACUUGUUUGAAUGCCUGAUAAUGUAUCCAUGUGAUACGUUUCGUGAUAGUGGGAAUCAGUCAAGGGGUUGUGAUGUAAUAGGAACCAAUUCAGUUGCAACCGGUUGUCAAUGCCCAGCAGCUAGGAAUUAUGGUAACAUAAUCCAGCAGAAACAUGUUCUUCUGUAUUGCUAAUAGAUCAGUAUAAUGCAGUUCUUAGCUCCUUCAGUUCCACAGAUUUCCUCACUCAAUUCCUUUUCUUUUUUUGAGUCUUCUCAUGCAGCCAUUGUCAUGCAAGGCCAAGUAAUUAGGCCCUAUAUAUUUAGCAUUGUUGUUAGUAGUGUGCUUUUACAAACAUCUAUUUGUUAUUUGGUAGCUUUAUUUUUAAGGCACUGUGGAAUUUAAAUAUGUGUUUGGUAACCAAAUUGAGAAGUGCUUUUGGUACGACAAAAUAACAAUAAAGUUCAUGGCAUAGUAUGGUAUAGUAUAGCAUAAUAUAAGGUAAUAUUAUAUAUUUUUAUAUAUUAAAAUAUUACUAUAUAGCAUAAUAUUAUUAUAGUGUAAUAUAUUGUAAUAUAAUGAAAUAUGUAAUAUAAUUUUAUAAAUAAUAUAGUAUAAUAAUAUAAUAUGAUAAGAUAUGAUAAUAUAAUAUAUGAAUACAUCAUUACAAUGUAAUAUUAUUGCACAGUAUAAUAUUAUCAUAAUGUAAUAUAAUAUGAUAUAUAUAUAUAAUAUAAUAAAAUAAUAUAUUAUUACAUGGCAUAAUAUUAUUAAAGUGUAAUAUAUUAUUGUAGUAUAGUAUAAUAUAAUAUAAUAAUAAUAACUCAAUCACAUCCAUUGAAAUAAAAUCAACUCUCAAAAGAAGUAGGAGGUAGGCAUGAUAAUUGAAGAGAGACAGAGAAGAGGGGAACGUGAAAAAGGAAGGGGAGAGAGUGGCGAGGAAAUUACCUUUCUCUCUUUCUCUCUCUGGGUAAGUCCACUAGGAUAAGGGUGCAUCUUUCCAGUUUUGACCAUUGGUUCAUCAACUGCUCGCUGUGAGAUCUAUGUAAUGGAUGAAUGAUGAUGUUUUGAGCACUUUGAGAGCUGUGUAUUUGGCUAAGCCUUAUGCUUAUUGGGAAGUAAAAAAAGUGAGCACAUAAUUAUUAGUUCGGUUGAGCCCUAUGAUUGGCUAAGCCUUAUGCUUGUUGAGGGAAAAAAUUUGAAGGAGAAAAAGGAGCCCUACGAACUAAGGCCCCUCCGUUUCGGCAACGAUGUCAAUGAAAGUAAGGUUGAAUCAACUAUUCCUUCUUCUUUCUCCUGGCAAUCAAUGAGCCGAAACAUCAUUAAAAAAAAAGAGCUGAGGGCAUGUCCCGACUAGGACGGUCGCAACAAUUCAUGACCCGACUGGGAUGAAACAAGACCAUUAGGAUGGGGGAUGGAAGUGCGUUUUAGGGUCAAGUACUUGUCCCACACACUACAAUCUCACUAGAAUGGGACAGAAUGGCCGGGAUGGCUCUCGUCUUGUUAAGACUUCAAUUCUUGGUUUAAUUUAAAUGCCCAACAUGCUAGAUAUGCUCAAGUCUUCUUUUUCUUGUUUCCUUCUUGAAUCGGGACAUAAGCGAGACAAUCCAUUAUAUGUAGUUAUGCAUACCACAAGAUUAGAUUCGAUCUUUUGAGGGAAGAAGUAAAGUGGGCAUCCACUCCUUCAAUCACAAGCAUUUACAUUACAUAGCACUCAAAAGCAUUAGGCAUAUGCUCCAUUGGCUGGAUGGGAACAUUCACUUUAUGUCAAUAUAUGAGAAGAUUGUUAGGGCUUGUUUGGAUAUUCCUACAAGAUUGGAUUGAAAAUCCUAUAGAAAUCAGACCUAUUCUCCUAUCUAGCUUAUAUUUUCUAAGAGUUUGCCCAAACUCACCCCCAAUUCUAGCCUUUGUGUCUGUUAACCUAUGGAGUUUUUUUAUGUUUCUUCUCACAAGAUUUGGAUUGGGCGAUAUUUGAUUGAUACAUGAUUAUGCUUAAAUGGGCGGCCUGUAGGAAUUAUCCAAACAUACCCUAAUGAAGAAUUUGCCGCUCGACUCAUUUGAGCAAUCCAAUAUCUACUCUAUUAGCAAGAUUCAAACCGCUCUUUUGAAGCCAGCAAGAAUGUCCACACCUUCGUUACAAAGUUCUUUACAAUAGAAAACGGCCAGUGUCCUGAAGUAGUAGUAUUAGAUUGUUGUUUGAUGAGCAGAGAGUGCCACUCUACGUAAAACUCUCCAAUCUUCUUACACGGUAAUUAUCCUUAGUGGUUCAUUUCAUUGUGUCCAGAUAUUACAUGACUUGCAACUGCAUCACAUUCUCUCUUCAUGCACCAUUGUCACAUGUUACCAUGAAUCUUUAAGCAGUGUAAGUUUAAAUAAACAAAGACUCAGUUUAGAAUGCAAGAUACUGAUUUCACUGGCAUAGGCUGGUAAAAAAAGAAAAAUCGGUUUUGGGAGGACAUAUGGAUUGGACCGGCUCCUUUUGCUUCUUUAUUUGAGAAUCUUUAUCAAAGAGAAAUAAAGAGGAAUAUAACAAUAGUUUCUCAAUGGAAUUGUCGACAUCGAAAGUGGAAUAUAAAGAUAUAGGGUCCUUUCCGUUACACGCGCGCACACACGCACACCCACGCACAUGCAUGUGCACGCAUGCACACAACACACGCACGCAUGCGCGCACCCAGGCUAUGAUGCAUCUUCUCUUGCCUAUGUGGAGUCUAUACAGUAAAAUCCUAUUACAAGUUAAUCAAUAAUGGAGACAUCAUACCUGAAAAGGCUAAAGUCCUAAUGUGGUUGAAUUUAAAAAAUAAAUUACAUAUAGAAAAAGUAUUAGCAAGGAAGGGUUGGGCAGUAAGCACAAGAUGCCCAUUAUGUAGAGCAUGAACAGAGAAUACAACCCAUCUAUAUCUCAAAUAUCUCUUCACAAAAAGUAUUUAGUAUUGUCUCAAAAUCUAGAGGAUGGCAAACUAGCCUUUAGUCUCUUUGGUCAUCAUGGAGAAUUAAGAAAAUCCAACCCUCAAUCAGAAGAGCUUAGGAUUAGCUGAUGAUUGCAUUUUGUUAGCAGAUUUGGCAUGAAAGAAACUUUCAUAUCUUCCUCAAAAGAAACUCAUCUAUUCAUGCGGUGCUAUGUAAAAUGCUCCAUACUUUUUAAGUUUUGGCAAAACCUGUGUCCAGUCAAUUGGCUGAAUAGCCACAAGAUGCUCAUAUCCACUCUCUCGCCUCUGAUGUUAUCUUUUUAAACAUGAUAUUGUAAUUUUAUUUUAUCUCCUUUUGUACAUACUCGGUACAAAAAUAAUCAUUAUCAUCAAUAAAUAUAGGGGGAAAUGUUUUUUCACUUCAUUGCACUUCAAAAAACCAAAAAAAAAAAAUGAUAAGGAGACACUGGUACAUGGUCAAUGGAAAAAAAUGUCGCUGAUCUUUGAAACCUAAUGUCAAUUACUGAUAUUUGACUAUAAUAUAAUACCAUUGUGAUGUUCUUACUUCUCAUCCCUAAAGAAAAAGGCCCUGUGAUGUAUGUGGCUAAAGUAUUGGAAGACUAGAUUUACAGGUUUUGAAGCCAAAAAACCGUAAAAUCACUAUUUUCGAGCUUAAGAUUAAUGGAAUUCAUAUAUUAGGAGGUUCGAUUUAGGAGAACAAAUGCAUCAACUUUCAGAAGAGUUGAGCUAGAUUCCAAUAUAUCAGUCAGCAACUAAGCCACAUUUCCUUGACGUAAAAGAAACUAAUACUUUCAAAUCCUACAAUAUGUAAUUUUAAUCCAGUUUGAAGCAGUCUUUGUUAAAAUAUGUUAUCCUAUAAGAGAUAGGCCCUUUUGCCACAAUGUCAUCAUCCCCCACCGAGGAUAAGUUAUUAUUGAAAACUCAAAUCAACCACAACAUUAGAACCAGAUGAUGAACACGAAUCCUACCUCAAAGAUAAUGAAUGUUACAUGAAUACAAUCUUUUAAACUUCUCCCAUGCAUGCAAACAAGAGUAAUAACAUUUUUGAUAUGAUGCUUAAGAAGAGUGGCUCAACACAUUGCUGCAUACUUUAAAAGUAAAAUCUAGAGCAAACCUACUGUUCUACUCCUGGACCUAGACGAGCACCACAAACAGUAGUUGGUUUGGGGUACCCUGUUCAUCUUCUUAACUGCCCACUGGCUCACGAGACUAUAGACAUGAAAAAUAGAGGAUGUUAGGCUCACAAAUUAAUAGCGAUGAAAGUGCAUCGGAGAAUAUCCAUCCAGAUCUAUUUUCAUAUCUGAAUCUAUUCAGGUAUAGACAGAAAUUUGAGCAUCUAAUUAAUAUUCGUAUUUGUAUCCAUAUCCGUCAAAGAAAAAUCAAAUAUGGAUACAAGCAGACAACAACCUAAUCUGCAUGCAAGUACCUGAUUUUAUUUAUAAUCUUAUUUAAUUUUAUAUAAUACUCAUGAACUUUUGAAAAAAUAUAAAUUUUUACAUCCAACUAAUAUGCAUCAGUAUUUGUAUUUAUCAAAUUAAAUAAAUAUAGAUAUGGAUAUACUGGCAUCUGAUAAUCUGGUUUCAAUCCUAAUCAGUAAGGAUGACACUCGGAUGAUGUGAUCUCUUGCAUGGCUGAUGAUAAGAGGACAACAAUUGGGUGGCCCACCCACUAGUAAUUGAAACACUCCAGGCAACAUGUACAUUUUUUUAAUUACUAUAUAAAAAAUGCCAUGCCAUCUUUUGGUCACUCUAUGGUCAUUUUUUAUGCUUACCCUUUUGUUUAAUAUUAAUACCUCUUCCACUUGAGGUUUCUAGCACAUAGAAUUGAAGUGAACAAUAACAAGAAAAUCAAUUGGAGAUUUGGGUGGGCCAUUUAAAUUAUAGAUAAAUCCAAACAGCCAAAAUGACCCAUCUCUGCUCUACGGGGACACUGGCGAGGGCAACUCCUUACUCCUCAGUGAUGUACAUUAAUUGCUAAUCCAUAGGCAUGUAAAUGGAGGACGGACUUCCAAGUGGAAAGAUAGUCCAAAACAAUUAAAUUCAUUCUAUGAUGAAUAAUAUUAAUUGGCAACCAAUAGAAAUGUACUCCAAUUGUGGACUAGGAAGGACAAACAGGAAAGCUCAAAAGAAUUCACUUCAAUUAACUGCGAGUUAAUGUUAAGGUCUAUUUUUCUCAUUCCUCCUCCCCUAAGAAUUGCCACAAGGGCUAUAGGUUACUUUGUUUCUUUGCUUUUGCAAGCAAAGAGGUGUAUGGAGAACCAUUGGGCUUUCGGACAACAUGGCCCAACGGUAGAGUUUCCACCACAUUUCUUAUAUAUAUAAAAAAAAAAAAGCUCAAUAUCAAUCUAAAAACUCUCUACGAAUCCGACCAUUUGCAUUUAUUUAAUUCCAUUAAUAACCAUUUAAUUUAUAAUUUAUUACAGCUGUGAUAUCAUACCAAGAUUGUAUAUGCAAUAUAUGGCAGUUGUAAUAUCAUAUCAAAAUUGUGCAUGCAAUAUGUGAUAGUUAUGAUAUUCAAUAUCAUACAUACUAUAAUAGGUGAGAUUGUGCAUGACUCGAUACUACUAGCAAGAUGUUUGCACAUUAUUUCUUAGAAAAUUUUAAAUUAAACUCAAAUUUGGAUUAUAAAAGAAAUGUAACAAAUAAAAAAGUAAUUUUUUUUCCAUAUGUCAUCACAUGUUUGAGUGAGAUUUAAGUGAAAGUAGUAGAAUCGUACUGACAAACCCACUGUGGUUUUGUAGGCAGCUGGUGUUGUAGCCUUUGUUUGCUAAUAUUUAUCUAAAAUCGUAUGCUGAUCUCAUGGGAUAAAGAGCUCAUAUGGGAACGGUUGGCUCCUCUAAGCUUCACAUCCCAUUGUAUCUGUCCAUAAAUCGCGUCGUCAGUCCACCAUACUCGUUGGCUCUCUCUCUUCCCUUUUUUCCAACCCGUCUUCACUCUGUCGACAUUACUUGUCAUCACCUUUGGAAUUUUCUCGCAACAGCAAUUAAGCACCAUUUAUUUAUAUAUAUUGCUAUCCAUUUGACUGCCUAAGCUCUCUCUUUCUUUGGUGCCCCCGCGAGUCUGAGAGUUAAGGAGAGAAGGGAGAGGGAGAAAGAGGGGAAGAGAAUGGGUGUCUCAGAAGAAGAGAUGCUGGUCCAAAUGGUUCAUGACUUCAUUGAAUCAGAUACAUCAUCCAUGCCCACCUCCAUUCCAUCCUCCUCGCAGGCCAUUUCUCUCCACCACCACACAUACCUCCUUCUGAAGGUUUGUUUAGUAUGGAGCCUUUUAACUUCAACAUCUCUGGAGCCUUUAAUCAAUCUUGUUCAUAUGUCUGCUCUCUCUCUAUGAGAAACUAAGUUUGCUCAUGCACUGGUUUUCUAUCAGCAACACAUAUACUUACAUGCAUCCAAGCGAAUGAUUUGCUUCUUUUGUUGUGGUUUUUUUCUCUUACUUCUUUUGUUUUGUGGGUUGAAGGGGAUGAUUAGGAGUGCUACCGAUGCUGAGAUGGAGGUUUUUGAGAAGGCCUUGAAGUAUGUGAGAGAGAUGGGAGAAGAAAGGAAGAAGAGCUGUGUAAAGAAGAGGCUAAUGAUGAAAUUGAGGAUGGAUGGUUAUCAGGCUUCCCUAUGUAGAUCUUCUUGGGUUACAACCUUGGAGUGUCCUGGAGGUGUUGCUNNNNNNNNNNNNNNNNNNNNNNNNNNNNNNNNNNNNNNNNNNNNNNNNNNNNNNNNNNNNNNNNNNNNNNNNNNNNNNNNNNNNNNNNNNNNNNNNNNNNNNNNNNNNNNNNNNNNNNNNNNNNNNNNNNNNNNNNNNNNNNNNNNNNNNNNNNNNNNNNNNNNNNNNNNNNNNNNNNNNNNNNNNNNNNNNNNNNNNNNNNNNNNNNNNNNNNNNNNNNNNNNNNNNNNNNNNNNNNNNNNNNNNNNNNNNNNNNNNNNNNNNNNNNNNNNNNNNNNNNNNNNNNNNNNNNNNNNNNNNNNNNNNNNNNNNNNNNNNNNNNNNNNNNNNNNNNNNNNNNNNNNNNNNNNNNNNNNNNNNNNNNNNNNNNNNNNNNNNNNNNNNNNNNNNNNNNNNNNNNNNNNNNNNNNNNNNNNNNNNNNNNNNNNNNNNNNNNNNNNNNNNNNNNNNNNNNNNNNNNNNNNNNNNNNNNNNNNNNNNNNNNNNNNNNNNNNNNNNNNNNNNNNNNNNNNNNNNNNNNNNNNNNNNNNNNNNNNNNNNNNNNNNNNNNNNNNNNNNNNNNNNNNNNNNNNNNNNNNNNNNNNNNNNNNNNNNNNNNNNNNNNNNNNNNNNNNNNNNNNNNNNNNNNNNNNNNNNNNNNNNNNNNNNNNNNNNNNNNNNNNNNNNNNNNNNNNNNNNNNNNNNNNNNNNNNNNNNNNNNNNNNNNNNNNNNNNNNNNNNNNNNNNNNNNNNNNNNNNNNNNNNNNNNNNNNNNNNNNNNNNNNNNNNNNNNNNNNNNNNNNNNNNNNNNNNNNNNNNNNNNNNNNNNNNNNNNNNNNNNNNNNNNNNNNNNNNNNNNNNNNNNNNNNNNNNNNNNNNNNNNNNNNNNNNNNNNNNNNNNNNNNNNNNNNNNNNNNNNNNNNNNNNNNNNNNNNNNNNNNNNNNNNNNNNNNNNNNNNNNNNNNNNNNNNNNNGAGAGAGAGAGAGAAAAAGUUAAUGGUGAUGGGCGGAUUGCUACCCACUGUUAAGUUUCAGAAUGUCAUCUUUGGUUUCAUUUCAUAGGAGCAUCUUUUCCUCCAUGGAUUUCUUAGGAUUUUUGAGUCCAUUGGAAGCACCUUUUGUUGACAUGGCUUUUGUGCACUGCAACUAUUGCACCCAAAGUUGAAAGAUCAGAAGAGAGCCUCAGAAGAGUGAGGGAAGGAAGGGAAGAUCAAAGCAUGGUGCUAGUUUGAUACACUGCUUGCAACUUUUGGCUCUAAAACUAACAACAAAUAAUAAGUAAUUAGAGAAGAGAGAGAGAGUGUGUGAGAGAAAGAGGGGGGUGGAAUAAGCAGUAGAGUGUUAUCCUUUAUCUUUUCUUCAAAAUAAUAGUGUGUGUGCAAGAUUUUGCUCACAAUCUGAGUUGUAUCCACAAUCUAUUUAGAACAAACAUAGAUUACUAUUUAUUUAACAUCGGUAUUUAUAUUAUACUCAUGGAAUAAAUAUAGAUAUGGAUUAAAUAUAUCUAUCUUAUCUAUUUUCAGUCCUAGAUAUAUGUAGAAUGCUCAAGUCACAUCUUAAUGAGGAAGAAGAAAUUAAGAAAUGCAACCUUCACUUGAGACACUGGAUUCUACCCAAGGGAGCAGGUAUGUGUGCCCAGCAGACAAUUUGUAUUGUACAAAAGGGAGUUUCUGAUGGAUGUUUUUGGGCCAUCUGAUUCAAAAUUUCUUCUCAAAUUUAUCUAUAAUUUAAACAAUGUUUACUAAAUUUUGGCUCCAUUACUAUAUAAUGAGAGUUUUAAGGCGAGAGAGGGGAAAUGUUCCUGUGAAGUGCAAGAUAGAUCAAGAUAGGUUUAUUCAUUUAAGAGCAGGAUUUCACCCACAUAAGUGCCACAUGCCAUCACCCACAAUUGCCACAAGCCAUGAAAAGAAAUUGGAAUUAUAUGUAGUGGAUGAGGUACCCUAACGGUUGAUGUAGAAUCCUCUGAGUUGGCAUCAAAUAAGAUGUGCUAUGUAUGACACAAUAAGAUUUGAUGGCCAUUUAUCUCUUGAUAGUAGCCAUCGAGUGCUGCACAAUAUUUUGUGGUGCAAACAGUAUAACAUAGAAGAUCCAUAUCAUCACAAGUUUGGAUUCGCACCAUUUUACGGAUAAAGUUCUAUGUAGUGUACCACAUAAAUUUGUAAUUAUUUUCUAUAAUAACUUUUGAGUAACAAGGCGGUAUCUCUCUUUUAACGUUUAGAUUAAUGGCGGGAGCAUGAUGAAUUUGUUUACUUAGAUCACACACCAAGACAGCUGCAUCAUAAAAGUUGAACCGGUAAUCUUGUCUCAAAUAGAGGAUAUAACCUAUUUUUUAUAAAAUCUUAUUUAUUUUUUAUUAUUUAAUCUUGUCUCAAAUAGAGGCUAUAACCUAUUUUUUAUAAAAUCUUAUUUUUUUUAUUAUCUUCUAUUAUUUGAGAAAAAAAAGAUGGUUGGAUGUGUAGACCAAAACUGGAACGAAAGUGGGAUCUAACACUUCUUGUAUCAACACAAGAUUCAGUUGGCAUCCUACAACUUCUAAUGCAAUCAUAUAAGCUAUUUUCUUUUUUCCUGAUCAGAAUUAGCUAUUUUUCUUUAUGGGAGAUAGAACUGUUCUUUUUCUUUUCAAGUUUUUCCUUUUUCUUAAAAUUAUGACCAAAAGAUAGAAACAUUUAGCAUAUUUUAAGAGUAUUAAUUAUUUUUACUUUAAACCUACUGAGUGCUACUUUUAUUCUAAACAAGAUGCACCAUCAUGAAUUAGGGCUUAGUGGUAGCAAUAGUAACAACCUGCUUAGUAACCAGCAAUUUUGGAUUCUGUUUCUGGAUGGUAUAGUGCAACUAUUUCACUCUUUUUUCUUUCAAAAGAACAAGAUGCAUUAUCAUUUAGGAAACCAAGAAGCUCUUGAAAAAGGAGAGUUUACUUUGGUACCCCCCCCACCCUCCUUCUCUCUGUGCAUUUACUACAAGAAUUUGUCUAUUUAGCUACAAAAAGUUUGUGUUGCUAAAUAUACAUAUACAUAUACAUGUACAUGUACAUGCAUUGACAAUAUUGAAGUUUGUUAUUUAACCAUUUUGAGGCACGCCUUUUAUUUCUUUUACUCCUUCGCUACUUCAUGGUUCCAUUAUCCAUCAAAAGUUUUUGUUUUUCAAUUUUAUACAUCCAAGGCUUCCAUUAUUCAAUUUUUCCAACGCAUUCGAUAAUGCAAAAGAGUGUUCUAUUAAGUGUAGAAUAUUUUUUUUCUUGCCAAGUGCUUGAUUAAUAAGGUAUUAGAACUAAGGUUGUCGACUGUCGUGUUUAUCUCCAUCUAGUUAAUUAAUCUGAAUGUGAUGAAAUAUUGUGUGAUUAAACAGUGGCUCAGCAUCAUUUUUUUUCCUAUUGGGGAAUGCAUGUUGGCAGGCCGGGAUGAGCAACAACUUAUCCAUUUGACCACAUCUGCAUUAGUCCUUGAGCUUGGCCCAGAUUAACAUGCAAAUACUUAUGGGCUGGGCUUGGGAUGAGGGAAUUGAACAAUGAUGACCUGAAGGCCCUGAUGACUCGGCUUUAUCAUUGUAAAUGUUGGCCCACGAGCCAGCCUUUUUUUACUUUUGUUGAGGAAAUGUUGCAACAUUCAGGUACAUCAAUGUUCACAGGUGUGGUCAAAUUCUAUCAAUAUUUAGCAACGAAAGGUUCUAAUUUGAGUCUUGAUGGUACAUCUCUAAGAAUUUGAACCUAGAUAGUUAUAAUGCAGAUGGGUUUCCCUUCCAUUCUCCCUGAAAAAAAGAAAUGCUAUCUAUAUUUGGCUUGUCAUUGUACGAGUAAUGCUUGUUACAACCAUGAAAUAUUAUGCACAGCAUGGAUGUGUGUCAUAGGCAGGCCAUGGAGCCAGGUUAUCGAGUUUGAAACUUGUGGCCCAUGUUAAUGGCCAGUUUCAAGUUAGGGUUCGGGUUCGGGUAGCAUCUUUAGCUCGGAAGAAUAAUUGAUCUUUUUUUUCACAUCAUCGACCGUUGGAUCACAUCCUGCAUAGAUCUCAAAGCAUUUUAUUUUUUUAUUCGCCACCUGUAUGGAUCUCAAAGUAGCCAUUGUGCGAUCCGAAGGUGGAUUUGCUGGAAGGAAAGGGAAUCUUUCUUUAACUAGGUUGGCACGAAUGGUACAACCCGAUCCUUCAAGUUGGGCUGUAUUUCUUUUAUAAGCCGAACAAGUGCCAACUAGUUAAAGGUUUCACCAACUUGGCUAUAAAGAAGGCUAAGCGGAACUUGGAGUCCAAUGAUCAGAUUGUUUUAUGGUUCUGAUGCCCAGAACAAAAUCUAUGUACGCUUGAAGAACAUGUAAUUGAUUCCGUUUAAAUAAUUCUCAUCAUCUGUGAUACUUAGUAUCUGGCCUGGAGUAUUUGUCCCAAAGGAGUUGGCCCAACAAAAGAAAAAUUGAUGCACGUGCGAGGAGGGAAGAGGACUCCUGAUGGGAGUCUUCUUCCUCUUGAGUUCGUCAAACGGAAUCCUCCCGAUCCUUCCUUUCACCUCUACCAGAGAACUGAUCCCAAUCGGAGAUUAGUCGCUGGAGUCUUCUUCGAUUUCUUCCGCAAUCAUCGAUUGUGUCCGCACCGUCACCGCGGCCAAACGCCACCGAAAGCUACGUAAAAACCUGAAAAUAUUUGGAUAACUCUUCUCUCCCUCUAAUAUGACCUUUUGAAGCUCGAUUCCGGCCGAUGAUCACCAGACUUUUGGCAGAGAAGGGUGAUGCCCUAUUUCUCCUGUUCUGAUCGACCGACCCCUAUUUCUUCUCGAUUCCAAUUGUUCCUGCCAUCGGUGCUCGUCGCCGAGGUCUACCUCCAGUCCUUCAUGGUGACCGGAAGCUGUGGCCAGAGCUGCAGCCACCGGGAUGCAUUAGAUCCAUGGUUUAAGGGGUUGAAACCCCUAUUUUUUUUGAUGAGUUUGGCGCUACCGGCCACCGCCAGCUGCCUAUUGGCCAAUCGUGGGUCUCCUAACCCUGAGCACUACGCAACCACCCUCUUCCUUCCUUUCCUUGGUUAGAGAGAGAAGCUUGCUUCCUUUCUCUUUUUUCUCUCUUCUCCAUCCCUUCUCUCUUAUUUCUCUCUCUAUUUGGACUUUUUCUCUCUACUCUCUCUCUAGGACUGUUGGAUAAGGAUGUCUCCCAAUGACUUUUGGAUUGGCUCUGGUGAAGGGUCCUAAUCUAGGACGUCGGAUUGGCUCUACCAGUAGGAGUUAUAAGUUGGCAUAUUGAUACCCUGCUAGUGGAGUUAUACGUUGGCACUUUGAUGAGCUUAUAUUUUGGCCCAGCCAUAGGGUAUAAAUGUGGACAUAGUUUAUGGCUAUCGAAAUGAAUUUGAUAUUUUUGAAACAAAUUAAUUUAUAAAUGAAGGAUUUUAAAAUAACUAGAUAGUAUAUAGGUUUAGUUUUGUAUUGAUGUACUUUGCAUGCUUAAUUUUAGCAUAUUAUUAAUAUUUAAUUUAUUAUCUGAUUAAUCUAGUUAAAGUGUUCAUUGUUUACUAGGCUGUCUAGCUCAUUACAUGAUUUCCACAAGCUGCAGAAUAAAUUAAUUUAUAAUAUCACGAAGAGAUUUCUUGCAUACUUGUGGAAGAAGUUUUCUAUGAGUAUGCCGUGACUCUCAGCUCGCGAUUUCGAGUCAGGGGUUUGACAUCAUCAUAAUUUUUUUUAGAAAAAAAGCUCCCUCCAAAUAAAUGUUCCUAGAUUUAGUGGUUUCUUAGUUUAAAUAGCAGUGGGAGCAUUACUCUUGCUCGUUGGCCCUUCUUUAACUCAUGGCAACUUGCCCUAAGAAUGGGCUAAACCCAGUCUUUGUAACCGGACUUUGGGCCAACUUCACCAUUUCAAUACCAUGUUUUUAACCAUAAAAUAUGGUUUUUAUGUAAAUUAAUUUAUAAAAAAAAAACAAGGUGGGAAUUGUUCGUACUAAUGAGUUCGUUUACAAGUUUUAUGGAAGGCAAGCAAACACAUGGUUUGAUAUGACACAAAUAUUUUAUGCUUUGUGUGAAAAUGUUCUACCAAAACUAGAGAACUAAACAGCCCUCACUGAUUAAUGUACGGAAUUGCUAUUUAUGCUUUGAAUAUUUGUCAGUUUUAUUAUAACAGGUAACCAAGAAAUAUGGUUUUUAUGUAACUUAGUUUUAUAAAAGGACAAGGAGAAAGUUGUUUUUCAUAAAGCUUGUUCUUCUAAAGUUUUAUGGACGGCAAGCAAACAUAUGUUCUCGUACCAUUCCAAUAUUUUUUUUGUUUUGUGUAAAAAUGUUUUUCUAAAUAAAAUAAUUAUUAUCAUAACCACUUUUAGCCAUUAUAAUGGAAUAUAUAUAUAAUAUGUUAAAAAUAAAAUAAUGUUAUUGCUUAAUUUUGUUGCUAUUAUGUAAUGGGAUAUUACUAGUUGAAUGGUUGUAGAAAUUUAAAUAAGAUUUUUUUUUGUAGAUAAAAGAAAAAUGAAAAGGCCAACUAAUAGCUGUUAAUGCCAUUAUUUAUGACAAUUACAAGUUGACAAUAGCUAUAUAAUUUUUUCCAAUUAAUCACUAACUGUAUUUGUUAAUUGUGUGUGUGUCUAUAUAUGUGUGUGUGUGUAUAUAUAUAUGUAUGUGUGUAUAUAUAUGAAAGUAUCAGGGUGUAAGAUCAUUUUCGACUUUCAAUGUUUCAUGUAAUAUUUAAAGAUGAAGCUCGAAUUUAUUAUUUCACUUUUUCUUUUUCAGUUCCAUGAUUAAUGAUAUUUCCAUGAACAAAGCACAUGUGCAGCAAGUGAUAACUACUAGUAUAUGCAGUGUAAUGGCAUUAUUCAGAUGGCAUUUACCCAACUAGGCUUCUAUAAUUCUUGGCAAAUUAAGCUUGUUUAAUUCUUUGCAAAUUAAGCUGGUUUAAUUCUUCUAUAACUACUGAAGCCCUUGCAUGAUGGGCCAGCCGAGAAGUACAACAUUGGUACAUUUUUUGAGACCUAGUGCAAGAUCAAUAUCUUUAGCAUAUUAAAACAGAUGUUCAGCUAGCCAUUAUAAUUACUGCAUGCCUUAUUUGAUUUCUUAAGGCAAACCUCAAAUACUACCCACCAUUAGUGUAAUUUGCUCUGAUGCUAAUAAGUUGAUAUAUUACAUCAAUAUAUAUGCCAUACUAACAAAUUCCUUCAAUCAUGUGUGAGGACCCGUGCAGGCGUGUGUUUAGUCCCACAUCGGUUAGUUNNNNNNNNNNNNNNNNNNNNNNNNNNNNNNNNNNNNNNNNNNNNNNNNNNNNNNNNNNNNNNNNNNNNNNNNNNNNNNNNNNNNNNNNNNNNNNNNNNNNNNNNNNNNNNNNNNNNNNNNNNNNNNNNNNNNNNNNNNNNNNNNNNNNNNNNNNNNNNNNNNNNNNNNNNNNNNNNNNNNNNNNNNNNNNNNNNNNNNNNNNNNNNNNNNNNNNNNNNNNNNNNNNNNNNNNNNNNNNNNNNNNNNNNNNNNNNNNNNNNNNNNNNNNNNNNNNNNNNNNNNNNNNNNNNNNNNNNNNNNNNNNNNNNNNNNNNNNNNNNNNNNNNNNNNNNNNNNNNNNNNNNNNNNNNNNNNNNNNNNNNNNNNNNNNNNNNNNNNNNNNNNNNNNNNNNNNNNNNNNNNNNNNNNNNNNNNNNNNNNNNNNNNNNNNNNNNNNNNNNNNNNNNNNNNNNNNNNNNNNNNNNNNNNNNNNNNNNNNNNNNNNNNNNNNNNNNNNNNNNNNNNNNNNNNNNNNNNNNNNNNNNNNNNNNNNNNNNNNNNNNNNNNNNNNNNNNNNNNNNNNNNNNNNNNNNNNNNNNNNNNNNNNNNNNNNNNNNNNNNNNNNNNNNNNNNNNNNNNNNNNNNNNNNNNNNNNNNNNNNNNNNNNNNNNNNNNNNNNNNNNNNNNNNNNNNNNNNNNNNNNNNNNNNNNNNNNNNNNNNNNNNNNNNNNNNNNNNNNNNNNNNNNNNNNNNNNNNNNNNNNNNNNNNNNNNNNNNNNNNNNNNNNNNNNNNNNNNNNNNNNNNNNNNNNNNNNNNNNNNNNNNNNNNNNNNNNNNNNNNNNNNNNNNNNNNNNNNNNNNNNNNNNNNNNNNNNNNNNNNNNNNNNNNNNNNNNNNNNNNNNNNNNNNNNNNNNNNNNNNNNNNNNNNNNNNNNNNNNNNNNNNNNNNNNNNNNNNNNNNNNNNNNNNNNNNNNNNNNNNNNNNNNNNNNNNNNNNNNNNNNNNNNNNNNNNNNNNNNNNNNNNNNNNNNNNNNNNNNNNNNNNNNNNNNNNNNNNNNNNNNNNNNNNNNNNNNNNNNNNNNNNNNNNNNNNNNNNNNNNNNNNNNNNNNNNNNNNNNNNNNNNNNNNNNNNNNNNNNNNNNNNNNNNNNNNNNNNNNNNNNNNNGAGCACAUGCACACCCCCCCCCCCCACCCCCACACACGCACGCGCACGCGCACGCACAUGCGUGCGUGCGUGUGUGUGUGUGUGUGUGUGUGUGUAUGUGGGUGUGUGUGUGUGUGUAGAUACAUUAAAAGUAUGUGUGUUAUCUUGUAAGUAUCAGACAAAUCUGGGGUCUAUGGUCAUCCAUUUGCAAUCCACGAGCACCCAGAGACACGUACAGGAUGAGUAGAGCAUUGAUUUUGUGACAAAUCUUGAGAGACGGAUGAACCGCAGAAGGCCAGUUGCCAUGGGGAAUCUAGUGCAGAAAUGCUGAAUUAAGACUUCUCCUUUGUUAAAUAUUGAAUAACCAGAGAGUAAGCUAAUGUGCCUCGAGAGUAAUUAUUAUUUUUAUUAUCUAUAAUGAAGGAAAUAUGGCUAUAUAACGAAAAUGCAUUUAUUUUAAUCCAUAAAAAGUGCAAACAAAGAUAAACUACUGAGAUACAUAUUUUCAGAGCAUUAAAACCCUAGUAUCAUGACACGGAUUUUUUGACGAAACGUAUGCUAUGGAAACCUUAUGGUACUAAAAUCUGACUAAAAAUUCUUUUUUUAAUUAAAAAAAGGACAUUUUGAUAUAUGCAUACGUUUUCGGAGUAUAUUGCUAAUACUAUCCUUAGGUUCAUGUUAUUUUACUUCGAAAAUAAAGGUUGCAUAUAUUCAGUUUAAUUAGGAGAUCACAGCACAUAGUUUUUGAACAUAGCAUAGGCUGAAAUAGUGUUGAAACAAGGGUCCAACUUUCGAGUUCGUCAACAUUUUUGGGGUGAUGCAUUUGCCUUGCUUUCAAUAUAAAUGCCUAACCUUGUUGAGCCCCUAUGUUUCUUCUACCACCCAUCCCUUUCCUCCUAUAUCAGCUUCUUCUGAUUCAAAUGCUCUUAUCUGAUUCCAGGAGACUUUGGCACAGGAGAGAUUCCCAAAUUCGCAUUAUUUUCUACGUGCAACAACUGUAGACAAAGAUAUCCUUGGUGCUUUUAGGCUUGGCUAGAGGAGACGUUACAGAGUUGGUGCAAGGAUUCCAACAUCUAGAUGCAGUCCAAAAUAGUCCCACCUCACCUUCUUCGCAUGCGGGAAUCUUGGGAUGCCACAAGCCAUGGCUUGGUUGGAGAGCACGUCCUUGUUGCAAGCUAAGGCUCGUUUGGCUCGUAGGAAAAAAAAAAAAAGUAGGAAAGACUAUGUGGUCAAUGAUAAAAUAAUGAAUUGGCUUUUAUUUGGUUAGAAUUUUCAAAAGAAAAAGACGAAAAAGUUAUAUUUCUAUAAAAAUAUAAUUUUCACGUUUCAUGAAAAAGUUUUUUCUCAUGAGAAACAUGAAAAAGUUACUUUUUUUUACGCGAAAAUCACUUUAUUUUUAUUUUUUUAAAAAAAUUCUUCAGCAUUAAAAAAUAUUAAAAACCUAAUUUUUAUUAAGGAUAUAAUACGAAUUAUACAUAACUUUUUUAGAAAAUUGGAUUGUCAACCAAACAUAAGCACUCUGAAAAUCUGUCACUUUUUUAUUGUCAACCAAAUAUGUCCAAAAUAUUUUUCCAGAUAUUUUUUUUAAAUUUAUAUUUUAAAAAUUAUAUUUUUAGAAAGAAAAAAAAGCAUCUUACGAACCAAACGAAUCCAAAAUAUUGUUGGAAGUGCUCGCUCUUUACCUCGUUGCAAGAGUAUCUAGGAUUAGUUAAAGCGCAUUGACUUGUCCGGUGCAUUUCGGGAUAUUUUGUUUGCAGAUUCGUCUGAGUAUAUUUGUAUUCGAAUUGUAUGAAAUACCUGCUUUAGCACAAAAAAAAAAAAAGAAAAAAAAAAAUAAGAAGAAGAAAGAAAGAAAAGCGCAUUGGAUUGUAACUGACAAAUCUGAUAUCACCGAGCACCCUAUCAUUUGAAUAUAAUGUGAUAUAAUCUGACACAAGAGUUAAUACUAAUUUCUAUAUGUGGUUUAGGAAUCAAUACGGACGACAAUUUAUGACACGGUCAGUGAUUGACCUACUUUAAAUCAAUUUAGAUGUGACAUAAAUAGGGAUCAUAUUAGCCGAUCUAAAUCUAUUUAUUCAAUAUAUUGGAUUUAGAACUAAACAUUUGCCCCAUUUUAACCUGCUUAAUAAUUAAAUCGAAUUAUAACCUCAUUUAUUUAACUUAUUUAAAAUAUAUUUAAUCUAUUUAAAAUCUACUUAAUUUAUUUAAUUUAUUUAAAUUUAUUUAAUUUGUUAAAAAUUCACCUAAUCUAUUUAAUUUAAUUAAUUUUGUUUGAUUUGUUUAAUAAAAGAGUUAUAAAGAUUGGAUUGGAUUAUCUGUUUAACAGAUAGGUCAUAUUUAAAUAUAAAAUUUUGAUCUAUUUAAUAAAUAAAUUAAAUUAAGGUUAAUAAAUUUUUGAUCCUAUCAACAUCUAACUUGAUUCGUAUUUAAUUCGAUCUGACCGAUUGCCAUCCUUAGGUAGACGUCCUUUGCCUAUCAAUAAAUGUUUAAUGCAAGUGAAAAUAAACAGUUGACAGUCCUAGAAUACAGGCAUAAACAUAAGAAGUAAAUGUCUAGUAAAUAAAAUUCUUUUUUUGGAAAGAAAGAAGGCUUUGCAUAUUAAAAUUGUAAUAAAUUAAGAUAUUUGUGUGUAAUGUAGUUUCAAAUGAAAAUUAAUGUUUAGGAGGUUUAUUUGCGCUAAAACAAAUGCCGAGGACCUUUACGUAAUUCUUUAAUUUUCUUGUCAAUAUGCCUUAUCUUUGUUCACGAAAAAUUUAUAUCAAAGUUUACAGAUGCUAUCUUUGUUUACGAAAAAUUUAUAUCAAAGUUUACGGAUGUUAUAAAUCUAAAUUUAUUUCCAGUGUCGAAUUCAUCAGGUGAUUUUGAAUAUAAUCCGAAGUUAGAUGGGAUGGAGACUUCUACAAUGAAGUUUGGCAAGAACUGUUUGGUGAGAAGACAGGUACAAGUAGCAAUCAAAGAACCAUAUAUGAUCCAAGAUAUUAAGACAUGGCAGAUUAGGUCGUAUAAUAUUGUAAAAUUGUUCGAUAAGGACAUGUUAAUUAUUAGGAAAAUGUUUUUAACGUCAGAUAGGUAGGUACAAACUCUUAGCUGAUAUAAUUUGUUUUCAACAAAUCCGCUCACUUUGAAUGACUGUGUAAUUUCAAUUACGGAGUGAACACUUCAUUUGUUGAAAAUAAUGAAUCGAGUGCAAAGGCACCCUCCUAAUAGCUUACAAGCCUUUGCUAAUGAACAUCGUUUUCUAUGAUUUAUUUAGUUUUUUCCCCUCUUAUUGUCUUUUUUUUGGGUUAACAACUCUUAUUGACUUUUCUGACAAGUUCUAGGAUAAUGAUUGAUUUAGAAUCCAUUUGCCACACAAUUAAUUCUGAUAAACAUGGCUCCACAUGUCAUAUAUAUAUAUAUAUAGUUGUAGAUCUCAAUCCCUCUUGUGCAUCUUCUUACUUGAUUUGCAGUUUUUAGCAUGUAGCCUUUUGACAUAAAGGACUCAUUUGGAUUUCGGGAAAAGAGGAGGGGGAAGGAAGGGAGCAGAGUUAAUGGGAAAAUGGAGAGAUGCCUCAUGUUUUGUUUGAGUUUUCAAAAGAAAGAAAUAGGAAAGUAAUUUUUCUAUGAAAAUAAAAAUUUUCAUAUUUCAUAAAAAAGAAAAACCCAUGUGAGGCAUGAAAAAGUUUAAUUUCCACUGGCUGAAAAUUAGAAUAUUUUUUUCCUAAAAGUACUCUUAAGUUUAGAUAGAAUAAGAUAAGAUUUUUCUCUUUAUUAAAAGUAUAAUAUGCUCUUCAUGCAACUUUUUCAGUAAAGUAGAUGCUCAACCAAAUAUAAGCUACUCUAAAAUACAUUAUUUUUUUUAUCGUCGACAAAAAAUGCAAAAACCAAUUUCUCAGGCAUUAUAUACUCUGACAUCAGUUUUUUAGAAAAAAUAUUCCAGUGAGGAAGAAUUCUUUCUAUGAACCAAACGGGUUCAAAAAAGUUUAAAGCCUCUUGACAUUUAAAAGGAAAUGAUGGUCAAAGCUAAUAUAAAGUCUAUCUUUGCUCGGAUAGGGAUGAAUCCACGGUCCAACUUAAAUUGAAACAAGGGAGUUCAGCCAACGUACAAUGGGAUCUAAAGCUAGAAAUUAAGUUGGCAAUGCAAAGCUGGUCAAGUGCAAAGCAUUCAUAAAACGCAUUUGUAUAUAAUUACAUGAGACCACAAGCAUAGUAGGUGAGAUUAAAGCUAGCCAAACCCGAAUAGAAAACAUAAUGGUUGUAGGGUGGGGGAAGCUCAAAGAGAUCGACCUGUUCCCCGUCCAACCAAAAGAUCACAUAAAGAAUCAUUCACUCCUUUAGGAGCCGUCUUUAUUCUCCAACUUCUUGUGUACUUGGGUUCUCUUUAAUUUCCACAAGCAAGCACAUCCCUCCAUAUAUUUCCAUUAACAAAUCACUUACAGUCAGUACAAAUGUAACUCCAGUUGAUGGAGGCAAAAACAACAAUUAUUAUCAGCCAAAACGAGGAAUCCAUGCUCGCAUGGAGGUGCAGACAAGCCAUGAUUAAUUAAUCUGGAGUUCUGGACUUUCCAAUGGCAAUCAAUGUUCGACAUGGUCAUGGGAUCCCAAGCCAGGCAGCAUGAGAACGAACUUGGCCCACCUAUUUACGUUAGAUGCAUGUAGCUUCCAAAUAACAGAAUGGUUGAAUAUGCACAUAUUAUGAUUUUUCUCAUUGAUAUAUAACAAACAAGGCAUGAUGUGGCAUUUUGGAAAGCAUCACAAAAAAAAAAAUCUUAAAAAAUGUCAUAAAUAAAUGUUAAUAGACAUCUACCAACAUGUAUCAUAAAUGUCACAAGAAGCAGCAUUGUUUUGAUCUUGAUAUUUCUGACAAAUGCCGGUGUCGGUCAUAAGCUAUUGCAUGAUCCGUCAUAAGCUAUUGCAUGGUCCGCCAUAAACUUCGCUAUUCAACUUUAUUCAACUAUAGCUAUGAAAUGAACCUUUUUAAUCUCUAGGUUUAAUGAUAAUUUUGGAUGUCACUUUACUAUUCUAUUGCGAAGUUUAAUAGCCUCAUAGAUGUUGCUAUAGUUACAUUACAAUAUUUGGGCUAUGCUAAAAAACAUAACAAUAACCUUAUAAAUAACAAAUUUUGUGUUCUUAGAUGUUGCUAGAAACCAAGCAAUUUACAGGUCUUAUUUAUGACUGUCAUAUGCAUCAGUUUAGGUGAUAUUGUAAUAUUUUUAUCAUCACUUUAGGGAGUUUUUCUCUCUAUUUACCAUUUAAUCAUGUGCAUAAAUUUGUUUAUAUAGAUGUUAGUAUUUCAAUAUCUACAGGACAAAUAGCUAUUCCAAUACCAUUUUCAUUCAAUACACCAAAUCCACAUCCAAUACAAAUUUUACAUUUAGCAACCAUUCUCACUUUAUAAUGUAUGUGGGUAUGUAUAUGUACGUAUUUAUGUGUAUGUAUGUUUAUAUUUAUGUAUAUGUUUGUAUAUAAUCAUCGAUCAAAAACUAACCUCAAACAUGUCAUAGAAAUUAAGACAUGAGGAAAUUUGUUACAUGUGUCAUGCAUGCCAAGUCAUAGCCAUAUUUGGUGAACAACUAUUGCAAUCAAAUAAUGUUGCAAAUUUUUAGUUAUUAUUCUUCUUUUAUGAUAUAUUAUGAGUAACAAUAAUCAUCGUAAAGCAAUAAUAAAAUUAUAGAAAUUUAAUUUUUCAAACAUGUUAGCUUAUUGAUAGUGUGCUAUAAUUUCGCUGCAAGAAACUUUCUCUAAGGGCUCGUUUGGUUCGCGGGAAGUAUUUUUCCUCCUAGGAAUAUGAUUCCUGAGAAUCAUAUUUCCAAAGUACUUUUGGCAUGUUUGGUUAACCAUGGGAAAGUGACAAAUUUCCAAAGUGUUUAUGUUUGGUUGACCAUCCACUUUCCUAGGAAAGUUAUGUAUAAUUCCUAUUAUGCCCUUAAUAAAAAAUAGAUUUUUAAUGCCUCUUUAAUGCUUUUUUAAUGCUGAAGGGUCUUUUUGGGAAAAAAUAAAAAAAGAGUGAUUCCCACCUCAUGGGAAAGUAACUUUCCCAUGUUUCUCAUGGGAAAGACUUUCCCAUGAAAUGUGGGAAUCAUAUUCCCAUGGGAAUACAACUUUUCUAUCUCUCUCCUUUGAAAACUCCAACCAAACAAGAGGCAUUUCAUUACUUUCCCGUUGACCACACUUUCCUCCCUCCUUUUUCUGCGAAAGAAACUCUCUCUAACGGCACAAGGGCUCUUUGAGGUCCACAUCAGACAAAUGGAGCCUUCCAACAUUUAAUAGGCAUUCAUGAGAUACUCUAUUAAUCGGACAGGACAGUUAAUAUUCUAGCGGCCACAACAAAACGCUUAAAACAUGAGCAGUGUCGUGGGCAACCAGGCUAUCAGUUUUUCUUCUUUGUUUUGUAGCUGGCAUUCCAUGGGGCAGAAUAGAUUGAUGCAGACUCAGAUGUUGCAGUGCACCAACCUCUUCUCCUCGCCACUUAUGGCAUGCCAACCAUGAAGAAAAAGUUUCAGAUAAUAGGCCGGGACCUCCAGUCAUUUCUUUUAACACUAAGGUGAGCAAACAAAAAUGAUAUGGGGCAAGUGUAAGAGAAAAAUAUAUGGAACAGGUUUCUAUUUUACUGCGUUUUCUCUAGUAGAAAUCUAAAAAUUAUACUCUUUCUACAAAAGGAGUUGUUAGUCCCGUGAUUAAAAAAAAAACAAGCUAAAAAAAGAAAGAAAUGCACACGUAGCAACCUCUUUCUUUCUUGUUUCUAAAAUAUACUUUUUACUGGUACAUACUAUUUGACCAAGUAAUAUACAAAGUAAAUUAGUCCCUUAGGAAGCCAAUACGCAUAUCUGGUAAAUCGAUACACAAUAUCUAAAAUAUAAUAUUCACUAGCAUAUAGUAUACGACUAGGUGUUAUACAUUUAGCAAAUUAGUUAUGUAGUAAUCUAUUAUAUACCUCCAAGCAAAUUGAAACACAGUUUUCAAAAUAUCAUGUUCACCAUUACACACUACAUGGAUGGUGAUGCAUGCUCGUUAAUUUUUUAAUAUUUACUACAAGCUUAUUUGAUAUAUACCCGACAGUAAUUCAAUACAUACAUUUAGGUAAAUCGAUACAUAAUUUUUCAGAAUAUAAUGUUCAUCAGUACUGAUACACAGUUUCUAAAAUUUUUUAAUAUAAAAAAUUAUGUAUAUAAUAUUUCUUAUAUUUUAUUAACUCUUAGGUGUAUAGAUCCUAGAAAAAAGAGAGAGAUUUGGAAGGGAAAAAAGGGACUCAGAAGGAGAGGAAAGACUUCAAGGAUGGGAUAGAUGGCUUGAUAAGAAAGAGAAUAGAUUGAAAGAUAUGACGUAGAAAAAAAAGGAUGCAGAUAGUCUCUCUUCGUAGACGAUCUCCCUUAGCGCAUGCAAUUUUUUAUUUUUUAUUUUUUUUAAGUUAAGGGAUUAACGGACUCUAUCAGUAGGAGGAGUUAUAUCCCUAUUUGACAUUUGGGUUUCUUCUUUAAGAUUAGCACUAGAAGAAACAUGGCUAAAUAGAAAUCCCGCCCCAUAUGAUAUUUUAUAAUGCCCACCUAUAUGAUCUUUAUUCAUGGUGAGUGGGACUUGUAAGAACAAAAAUCAUAUGGGGCGAGCGCCAAAGAAUGAAUUAUGAGGCAUGCUUCCUAUUUUGCCAUGUUUCUCUAGUGCCCAUCUCAAAGUAGAAGCCCAAAAGCCAGAAACUUCUCUUACCAAAGGAGUCAACGAUCAUGUGAUUACAAAAAAAAAAAAAAACAUGUGGCAUCUUCUUUCUUUCUCAUUUUCAAAACAUGCUUUCUAUCGGUAUAUACUAUAUGACCAGAUGAUACACACCGAGCAAAUUAGUCAUCUAGCAAGCCAAUACAUGCCUCUAGGUAAAUCGGUAUAUAGUUUCUAAAAUAUGGUGUUCACCAAUAUAUAGUACAUGGUUAUAUGAUACAUAGCUAGCAAAUUAGUUAUCUAACAACCGAAUAUACAUAUCUAAGCAAAUUGAUACACAGUCUCUAUAACAUCAUGUUCACUAGUACACACUACAUGGUCAGGUGAUAUAUACUAUAUGGUAGGAAUAUACACAACAAGGUCGGGUGAUACACACUCCUUGACUUUUUGAUAUGUAUUACAAAUUUCUUUGAUACACACCCAGCAUUGAUCCAAUAUACAUCUCCAAGUAAGUCGAUACAUAAUUUUCAAAAUAUGUUUUUUACCAGUACACACUACUUGCCUAGGUAAUGCACAUCGAGCAAAUUAAGUUAUCCAGCAAGCCAAUCCAAUACACAUCUCUAGAUAAAUUGAUGCAUAAUUUUUAAAAUAUAAUAUUUAUCUGUGCCAGUACUUUCUAACUUUGUCUAGUAUAAGAAAUUAUAUACAUAUUAUUCUUUAAAUUUUAUUAAUUCUUAAGUGAAAAGAUUUUGGAAAAAAGAAAAGGUAAUUUGGAGGAGGAGAAAGAGACUUGGUAAGGAGAAAAAAAUAUCUUACAGAUGUGAGAGAUGGUUUGAUGACAAAAAAUAUUCGGUAGAGAAAUUUGACGAGGAAGAAAAAGAAUGAGACGACGAGGAAGAAAAAUGGCAUCUGCAAUCUUUUUUAUUUUUUUAAUUAUGAAGUGACACUCCGUUGAUAGCAGAAGACCCGGUCAGCCGCCCGCCCCAUAUGACUUCUUCUCGGAUCCAAAUCCAAACACCAGAUCAUUAUCCCCCCUCCUCCCACUUAAUUAGAAACACCAAGGAGCGACCUGUGAUUUGGUGGCAUUUAAUGUAGACUUAGCCUCAUUGUUUUUAAAAUUCAUAUAUUUAACCUUUCUCCUAUAUCCUUAAUCAUCGGAUAUUAUGACUUUAUUAAUUACUUUCCACCUUUUCUUUUCCUCGCCACAGUUUCCCUCCAACCUGGUACUCGGCUCCAAUUCCGCUGAUAUAAACAUUCCACCGCCUCAGUUUCUAACAAAGACGGGUAGCGAUCCAAAGAACCAAAUCCACCACUUGGGUAAAAAUUCACCAUUUCUCUCUUUCUCGACCUCUUCUUCUGUCUUUCUUCUCAAAAUCGGUUUUUGCAUUGAUUUCUGUGGGUUUUCCGGGCUGUUUGGAUUCCUUCUGCCGUGCAAGUUUUGCUUCCUUUCUACUAGCAUUAACUGUUCUGAGGUUUCUUAAUGUUUUUGGGGGAUUUUUCUAGGUUUUUUAAUCUUUAAAUUGGUGAUGUUUUCUUCUUCUUCUUCUAUUUUUUUUAACCAGAUUUUGUUGACCAUUUCUCCAUUGAUCUCAGCCCAUGUCUAUGUCUUGCACUUUGACGUGGUUUUCCGGUGUAAUCUGUAUCUGCGGUAAACUCUUAUUAUUUCUUGCGGAUUCUUGUUUCAACCGAGCAGUUCUCUUCUUUAAAUUAGUAAUAGGAUCUUUAUUUGAUCUGUGAAUUAUUUGUCUAUGGCUGUGUGUAUUCUCACAUGAGCAUGGAUUCUUGUGUGGAUUGGAGAUCAGAUGAGGACAUCCCCUGCUGCGGCCUGAUCGGCGAGAGAAGACGUAGGGGUUGGUAACUUGGAAGCCCGGCACCGGACGGCUGGAACUAAGUGAGUUUCUCGGUUCUGUACUUCUUCUGCCGCCUCUUCUCUGUUUGUGGUUGCCCUGUCGUUCUUUUGCUGUCUAUUGUUUCGUUCUUCUUACUGCUCUGCACUGAGAUUUAGUUCCAUCCGUUUUCUUUUCCUUUUUCUCAAUUGUUUCCGAUAUUUCUGCUAUAUCUGGUAUUGUUCAGCAUAAUUCUUCUGAAUCUUUGGGAAAGGGAGAACCUUUUUACGGAUUUAUGUGAAGGACAGGUUAAAAUUCUUCUUCUAGCUCAUAUUUAGAUGCUAGGUCAGUUGCUGCCGCAGAAAUAAUGAUACUCUGAUUAUUUUUUUUUUGGAAUAGCCAACUUGGUGUUUGGUUGCAAGAUGAAAUUUCACCAACUUCCUUUGCAAAUUUCUACUUUGAGGAGGAAUUGCUAGUUCUUGAUGUUGCCAAAGGCCCAUUAAAAAUCACCAAUUUUCAACUUUUGGGAUAAGAAAAUGGAUUACAUCAUCAUUUUGAGAUUUAACACAUCCAAGCAGAGCCUAAUACUUUUUUUUUUAAUAUAUUAUGCGUAAGUUGAGCUCAAUUACACCUUGCUGCUUAGUUUGUGAUUAUAUUGCUUUUGAUGCUUUAUUAGUUCAGAGUUCAGACAAUUGAAUUUGGUGCAUUUGUUGUUCAAAUUACGCCUCUUGUUUCUCUUGAGAAACCCAAUACCAAUGGAGCAAAAAUCUCAAACAUGUUGGCAGUGAGGUUCUCUGAUUUUUUUUUUUUGGUUCUAAAUAGCUUUUCAUUCAUAUAGCUCGAGCGUGAGUACAAUCUGCCAAAUCAGGUGAAAGUAAACAGUACAGAGGGUGUGGAAUAUUAGCUUAGCUUGUCCAAAUGACCUCUCCGGAGUAUCAGACGGCAUAAGAGGCGACCCAGUCUGCUGCACUAUUCGCCUCUCGAUACACAUGAGCUAUCCGGAGGGAGGUCAACUCCCUUAGCAAUGUGCGGGUAUCUCGUAUCAAUGGAUGGACAUCCUCGUACCUAUCCGCUCCCCUAAUCUAGUCAAUCACCGUGGAGGAAUCGCCCUCAAAAAAUAAGCUAUUAACCCCCAAUACCCGUCUCCCAUGCUGCCCGGAGUUCCACUCCCACUGUGGUCAGACUAGGUGUGCUCCGCCUUCCAGCUGCUAUGAAUCUGCCCCUAUGGUCCCUGAUCACAAAACCCACUCCCCCAGAGGCGCCAUCCCCCGCCAUGCCUCCAUCGAAAUUCACCUUAAGAUAACCAGGGGGUGAGGGUACUCAAGAGAAGUAGAUAAACUUGGACGCUGAGACAACGGAGCAGGUGCCCCAAACUAGUAACCUCCGCUGCACGCCGCAUGGCUUUGUCCAUUACAACCCGUGGGGACGAUCUCCUGCCCUCAAACAGACGGUUGUUCCUGUCCAACCAGAUAUGAUAGGCCAAGUAAGCAGCCACGGUCCCCAUCUCUGCAGUACUCGGUCUCCAGAGGGAUUCUCUCAGAUACCGAAGCAUAUCCUCCACCGACUCUCACAUCGAAUGGACUGGCACAGGUGAACAUCUCCAUAUCUGCACGACUGUAGAGCACCAAAGAAGUACGUGACUGAUGAUCUUCUCAACCUCCAGAUAUAUCUCACACAACGAGCUCAUCCGCAUCUCCCAUCAAGCAAGCAUAUUUCUGGUAGGUAGGCAGCCCCAAGCCACCUUCUAAAAAAAGAGCGUCAACCGGGGAUGCACCCUCAUCCUCCAGAUCCAUCCUCUGUCAAUCUGCCUUUCUGGCUCCCUACUAGUCCAUGUAAGAAGAUCACUGAUGCGCACCCUCGUUUGGACCUCCGAUAUUUUCUGAUGUUGUCUAAUAGUCCCUAAUAUGGUAUAUCGGCCGAAAAUCUCUCCGAUAAAAUCUUCUCUGAUAUUCUUUAAUAAUUUCUUGCCCCAUUCCUCCAAGGGGCAUUGGCCCAUUCCUACCCAAAGCGGGAAACGGGGGCGCCUGCGCUUGUUUCUCUCUAUCGCGCAACUUGUGGAUUAGAACGAAGGGGAGGGGGCGUGCGCUAUUAAAAAAAGAAGACCAGUGCUUACCUCGUUUCCUCCUCACGUAUGCACCAUGCCUCUCUCGCCCGUCUCCUGCACUGCUUUCUGUGCGACGCUCGUUCUCGCCAGUGCCUUCCUCAAGCACACGUCAGUGCUCCUCCUUACUCUACAGUCCUUUCCUCCACCACUAGCAUGCUCUUUAUCACCUCCCGUUCUCCUCCUUCUCCUCCAUCGUCUUUUCCUUCCUCCUCUUAAUCUCUCUCUCUCGCUUCUAGUCUCCCUUCCCCUCCCUGUGUGUGUGGGGGGAAUCGGUGAGAGGGCACUGUGCCCUCUUCCACCAUCUCUCAUCUCUCUUCUUCCUAUUUCUCUUCCAGCCACCUAUGCGUGUGUGCGCGUUAGCAGGCGAAAGGCAGCUGUCCUCUCUUGUCCACGCCUCACUCUCUCUCCGUCUUUCAGUUCUCUCCUAUCUCUGAGCUAAGCCGUAGAAGGGUUUCACUGUGUCGCCUCCUCUCUUCCGUCCUAUGACAAGAAAUAGAGCAAGGUAGGUUAGUGGCCGUCUCCUCUAUUACAAUGAUAGGUUUAAAAAUCAGGAUUUUGAAAUUUUUCAAGAAUUUUUAGAAAUUAUGUUAAAGCAUUUGCGUACCACCGAUUCAAUACAUGUAUGUGAUUUAGAUUAUUAGGUCCCAAGGAGCUUCAGUCAGAUUAUUUGGAUUUUGAUAUCUGUGUUUUCUAAGAGUUUUUGAAAAAUUAUAGUUUAUAUCAUUUGAUAAAAGAGUUUUUUAUAAUUUCUGCUUCUAUUUGAUUAAAUCGUUAAGCAUAUUAUGUUCAAUCUUGGAAAACAAUAUAAGAAUAAAAUAUAUAUUUUGAUAUUCUCAUAAUAAGUUAUUUUGGACAUGACGGAUUUAGAAAAUUUGGCUGAAUAUUUGUGAAAAUAAUUUUAUAUUUAUAUAUUCAGUAUCGCUAUGAUCUGAUCUAGCCCCAUCAAUGGAGGUUAUUAUAGAUUUAGUUUUCUCAUGGCUUAAGUUUAGUCAAGACUAUGUUUUGACUAAGGAUCGUCAAGGAUUCAACGCAAAGGUUGAGAGUUGGUUAGAAAUUGGGCCAUGAAAUAUCUUUGUUGGCUAUAUCUUGUUGAUAACUUUAUGUUAUUUUGUCUGAAUAUUUAUUGUGAUAUUUGUUUUAUGUUCAACGAAAUCAGAGUUCCACAGCAAAAGCACAGUGAGUUAAAGAAUGGUAAGGUUUAGAACCUGAUUUACAAAAUAAACGCUCCGAGAGAUAAACUAUCUGAGAGCUCCAUGAUGAGACGACAAUAAUAAGUGUCCUCGAAGUUCCGUAAGUUUAGAUUCGUAAAUUUUGGAGGAUGAAAUUUUUAAGGGAGCUAGGAUGGCCCCCUCUACAGCGGGUGGUACCUUGGUCCUUUCCAAAUCGGGAAGCAGGAGAGACAUGCCCCUGUUUCUCUCUACGCAUGCUUGCGAAUUAGAACGAAGGGGAGCGAGCGUUUGCUCCGUUAAAAAGGGAGCAGCCCCUACCCCAUUUCCUUCUCGCUUAACGCACCACGCCUCUCUCGCCUGUCUCCUCCACCGCUUCCCGUGCCAUGCUCUCUCUCCCCUGUUCCUUGCUGAAGCACGCGAACGAGAUUCUCCCCGCCCUACAGUCAUGUCCUCUGCCCCUAGCAUGCUCUUUUCCUCCUCCUCAUGUUCUCUUCCUUCUUCUCCACCAUCUCUUCCUUCCUUCUCUUCAUCUCUCUCUCUCUCUCUCUCUCGCCUCUAGCCUCCCUUCUCCUCCGUGUUUGUGUAUAACAGUGAGAGGGUACCGUUCCCUCUUCCACCGUCUCUCAUCUUUUUUAAUUCUUCCUAUUUCUCUCCCACCACUCUCUGUGUGUGCGUGUGUUAGUAGGCGAAGGGAAGCUAUGCCUUCCAUUUUUCAUGCCUCACUCUCUCUCCUAUCUCUAAGCUAAGUCCCAGGAGGGUUUCACUAUGUCGCCUCCUCUCUUCUAUCCUAUGACAGGAAAAGGAGCAAGGUUAGCGGCCGGUUCCUCUGUUAUAAUGGUAGCUGGUUUGGAAAUCAGGAUUUUAGAUAUUAAUGUGCGCUGAUUCAAUAUGUGUGCGAUUUUGGAUUAUUAAGUCUUGAAAAGCUCCAGUGAGAUGAUUAGAUUAUCUAGAUUUUUUCUGAGAGGUGUGUUUUCUAAGAGAUCGUGGAAAAUUAUAGUUUAUAUCAUUUGAUAAAAUAGUUUUUAUGAUUUUUGCUUCUGUUUGAUUAAAUAGUGAAGCAUGUUAUGUUUUAUCUUUAAAAAUAAUAUAAGAAUAAAAUAUAUAUUUUGAUAUUUUCGUAAAUAAAAUAUUUUGAACAUAUGAUCAAUUUUGAGUAAUGGUUUGAAAAUUUUGACUGGAUAAUUUGUGAAAAUAUUUUUAUAUCUAUAUAUUUAGUAUGACUAUGAUCUGAUCUAGUUCGGCCACUGAGAAUUGUAUAUUGGCAUUAUCGACUUGUAAUAUGGGAAACUAGUUUCGAUACUGCACCACUGGCGAUUAGAAUAAUAGUAUUUGGGCACCAUUAUUUGUUCUUUAAUAUUUGUUAUAUGUAGAAAAGUAAACUGCUGGUUUAAGAAAGGCUCGCACACAUUUUUAUUGAUGUACAUAAUGUAUAUAUACAAAGAAUACAGGUUGGUGCAUCCUAAAAUUAAGCUAAGCUAUAAUAGCAGAUCUUCUAUAUAAGGAAUGUAAUUCCUAGAAUAGUGCUACGCUAUAACAACUUUGUGACAGCAUAUCUUUUAUAUAAAGUAAAGAAUAAGCCAACUAAGGAAAUGUUUGAAUCUCGUUACAGUUGCCGCUAUAACAGUAGAUCUUCUAAGGAAUGUAGUUUCUAGAAUAAUGCUGCGCUAUAACAACUUUGUAACAGCACAUCUUUUAUAUAAGAUAAACAAUAAAUCAGCCAAGGAAAUGCUUGAAUCUCGCUGCAGUUGCCAUUCGCGGAGGAGCUGAUUGCGGUGGAUUGGUAACUGUCCGUAUAUUAUGUAACCCAUGCUAUUGGAUUAUGUGAAAAUAACCAAAUAUUGAUUUAGUAUUAUUCGUAAAAAGUAUACUUUCGAAAAGAAAAAUGAGUAAUAUUCUCUGAAAUUUGAAAUUUAGCCUAGCCAAUGAUAUGUUAUUGUGUUUGAUUUGUUAUCUUAUAGCAUGCUCUAACCCACUUUGAGGUAUUAUGUUGUUUACUGGGCUAGUGUAGCUUCUUCUUCUUCUUUUUCUCUAUUUUCAAAUUCUAAGCUAUGAUUGGCUGUGGAACUGAGGGAGAGUGCACUAGAUGGUUUGGAGCAUCUAGUAGAUCUAAAUUCUCAAGGAUCAAGGUUAUCCUGUUAUUGGUUUAAAAUUAUUAUGCAAUGCUUAGAUUUAUUGUUCAGAUAGCCUUGCAUGUUUGUGUGGUUCGCCUUGCAGGCAUGCGACAUCUGUUACGUGCUCGAUUCAGAGCGUGACAGUGAUCGUUGUAGGCAUCAGUCUGGGUACAUGGAAUCUUUGUUUGAUCUGCCAAUUAUUUGUCUAUGGCUGUGUACAUUCUCACUUGAGCAUGUAUUUUUGUGCGGAUCAGUGAUCAUAUGAGGACUUUCCCUGCUGCGGCCUGAUCAGUAAGAGGAGGUUUAUGGAUGCGUCACCUGGAAACUUGGAAGCCCUGCACAUGUCGGUUGAAACUAAGUGAGUUUCUUGGUUCCCUGCUUAUUUUGCUGCCUCUUCUCUGUUUGUAGCUGCCCUGUCAUUCUUCUGGUGUUGAAGCCACUACAUUUAGUUAUUGUUUCUUUCUUCUUANNNNNNNNNNNNNNNNNNNNCUUUCUUCUUACUGGUCUGCACUGAUAUUUAGUUCCAUCUUUUUUUUCCCUUUUGCUCAAUUAUUUCCAAUAUUUUCAUUAUUUCUGGUAUUAUUCAACAUAACCCUUCUGAAUCUCAGGAAAGGAAGAACCUUUUUAUGGAUUGAUGUAAAGUCCAUGUUAAAAUUCUUUUUCUAGGCAUGGAAUUGCUAUCAUUUUUAGAUGCCAUGACAGUUGCUAGCACAAAAACCAUGAUACUCUGGUACUUUUUUCGAAAUUAAAAAGAUGAUUUUGGCCAACUUGGUAUUUGGUUGCACAAUGAAAUUUCACCAAAUUCCUUUGUAAAUUUCUGCUGGGAGUAUGAAUUCCUCGUUCUUGAUAUUUCCCUAUCAUCUUGUAACUCUGAAGCUCCUCUUUUGAACAACCAAAGGCCCACUAAAAAUCACAAUUUUUAACUUUUGGAAUCAGAAAAUGGAUAAAAUCAUCAUUUUGAGAUUAACACAUCCAAGCAGAGCCUAAUACUUUUUUUGUUAGUAAUUUGUAUGUUGAGCUUAAGUAUACCUUGCUGCUUGGUUUUUGAUUAUAUUGCUUUUGAUGCUUUAUUAGUCAGAGUUCAGACAAUUGAAUUUGGUGCAUUUGUUGUUCAAAUUACCCUUCUCAUUGCUCUUGAGAAAGCCACCUUGAGUACGGGGACUUAAGGUAUCAUACAAUGUUACUAGAUCAUACACUGUGAUCCUUUAAACCAGAAAACAAUAUAACCAAAUUCUUUCUGCCUGAAGAGAUAAGUUCAUCAAAGGCUCUUUCAAAUGCUCGAGCUAUAGAAAAAAUUAAAAGUACUAGGAUGGAAGAAUAUUCAGAAGAAUGUAUAAAAAGCAUUGUUACAAGAGAGAAAGAAGACAGGAGAAGGUUGGCACAAAUGAUCAUCUAUAAGGCUAUGUGCUCAUCUGCAGGGUGUCACUUCUUGGAAUCUCAGUUAGAAGGCACAAUUGGCCAAAUCACACAUCCCACCCUCUACAACCACCUGCUCCUCUUCUAGUUAAUUUAUAUGUGCCUAGCCACCUAGCAUGCUAAUUAUAAUUUUUAUGAGCUCAAUUUUUGAACCCAAACCUAAAGAAAACUACAAAUUAGCCCAUAAGUUACUUAUGAACAGAAAAUGACUGAGAGAUUGGACUUGCAAUCUCAUCACUCUCCUCAACAUAAGCUUGAGGCAUCCUUAAUAGGGAAAAGAACCAGAUUGUUUUUCUCCUUUUGUGAGGACCCGUGCGGGCAUGUGUUUAGUCCUACAUCGGUUAUUUGCUGGAUAGAUCUCGAAUACUUAAAUAGGAUCAAAGAACCCAAAUAAUACUUUUCGGCUAGUCUUUGUGGGUAAGGUUCUGGAUUGUUACAAAUAGUAUUAGAGUGGACCCAGCCCAUAAUCUAUGUAGACUAGGAGACACUGUAGCACGGAUCCAUUGGGGCUGACCACGGGCCGAUUGUGGUGCUUGUGAUUAGAUUUGAAUGCAUCUAAACCCUUUAGCUUGACGAGGACGUCAAGACUUAAAUGGAGAGAGUAUGCGAGGACCCAUGUGGGCGUAUGUUUAGUUCCACAUCUGUUAUUCGCUGAGUAGAUCUUGAGUACUUAUACAGAAUCAAGGAACCAAAAUUAUAUUUUUGGCUAGUCUUUUUGGGUGAGGUUUUGGGUUGUUAUACCUUUUCCGGCUUCUGUAAUCUUUACAAUAAAAUCAAUUUAUAUUACAAGAAAUGAAAAAGCCUAAUAUAAACUUGUCCUAUAGGCACCCAAAUUCCAGCAAGUAGCUCAUGAUGCUUGAAAUUACUCAGUUCUAAAUUCUAGGUUCUGCUUAUAUUGUACAGUUCCUUGUAUUGUUUUUCAUGGUCAAUAAACAGUAAAAAUAUAGAAGCUGCUAACCAUUAUUUUUAGUCUGGAGCUAAUUGGACUCUAGACAAAGAUGCCAUUUGGUGAUCUACCUUGUUACCUUCAAAAUUUUUGGUAGUUUUCUUUAAUGAAGUAUAGAUUUUGUUUUUUAAGGUGCAGAUUCUCUCUUGCUGGAAGCCAACUUUAUCCUAAAGUAAUUCCUCCAACUGCUCUAGAAUGUGAUCAAUAAAGUUGUUUUGUUAGAUUCAGACAUUUCAUUAAAUUAAAACAAAGUUAGGUAGGAGGGUGCUAUGAUUCCAAACAUAUUUUUUUUGUGAAGUGCAAAAAGAAAUUGUAGAGUCUUAUCUACUUUUUCUUCCUCUAGUUUUUCUCUUUGUUUUUCUUUUGGAAAGAAAAGGCCCAGUUAACCACAUGAAGGCAAUGGACUGCCCCCGGAAAUCAGCCUUCACUCUCUAGCAAUGGACUAACUAGUUCAUAACUAGGUCUUCAUUCCACGCUUUGCUUAUAGUUACUCCAGUCAGCAAAUUGACUGGUCUCCUUGUAACUAUGUGAGACAAUUGUGAGGCAGAAGGUUAUAAGAGGGUGCAUAUCAUGUAUGCUUGCUUGCAUGCACAUGUAUGUAUAUAUGUACACACACACACACAGAAAGAGAGAGAGAGAGAGAGAGAGAGAGAGAGAGAGAGAGAGCAUUGACAAGUCUGGAGCACUUGUUUCAGCUAGAAAACAAGAGAAUUUAGUUGAUUCAAAUUACAGUUUGGACUAAGCUGGCUUUCUAUAAUACACGAGCUGGAUGCUUGUCAGAUCAUAUUCAAUACAUGUUUGUGGACCUAUGAAUGAACUCCAACUGAAAGUGGAUAUAUAAACUAUAAAAAGUUGCAAAAGAUUGAAUCAGGCACUCUGCCAGAUUGCACCAGUCCCUUCAUCUCAACCUAUGUAGCGGACCUGUUAGUUAAACUAGGAGUCUAGGACCGAAAAAGUGAUGUAUGCAUAUCCAAGUAGUGCAGUAUAGUUGCAUGGAUAUCCUUAUGGCAGUUUUUGUGUCUUGACUUUGCGAAACUUUUGAUAUGGUGAACCAGAAAAGAUAUUCGAGGAAGCAGUGUCAUCAUUCUGAACUCAUGUUUUUCUAAAAAAAAUUCCAAACCUGUAAAUAUGCUACACUUUUUCCCUCUAAGUACUCAGAUGCCACUAAUUAAACAGGUCCUACAGGAAAACUGUGCUGUUAUGGUAAGCUAGUAACAAUAUCUGCAAUGUACUAUGGUCAGCAUAUGAAUGUAAAACAUUACAUUGUAUGAAAGUCAUGAUGUCGAUGUGGAUGAAUGGCACAACGAACAAUCUCAAGGUUCAAAGAUGAAUGCUUCAACCAGUAUUAGCAGUGGAUAAAACCAAGAAAUAUGGAAUCAUCCCGAACUGCUUGGUUCGAGGCGUAUGUAGCCAUGCCGGCGGCGAACCAAGAUAGUUCCAGCAUUCAAAGCAAGAAAUCGGUAGGAGGAAGAGAGGGAGGAGGAAAGAGAGGAAAAGGGAGAGAGGGGGAGGAAGAGAGGGGUAGGAAGGGCCAUCGGAGGGACGUAGAGAGCCAGAGUUUCAAAACAGUGUUCGUUGGGGCUUUUUUUUUAUUUUAAAAUUUUGCCGACUUUACUUAAAAUUUUCAAAAUAUAAAAGGAGAUCCGACGGACCUCUUUUUGAACGAAAUAGGGGUCUGGAGGGUGGGCCUUUCCUCCGGCCCUCUAGGUCUCUCCGGCGGCCUCCAAGGCCCUUCUUCUCUCUCCCCCCCCUCUCUGUCUCUUUUCCUCUCUCCCGUUCUCCCUCUCUCUUGAUCUCUCUGUUAUGUUAGUACGGGCUCGGCACGGAAUAGCAUGGGGCGUACCGAACUGUGCCCCGGCCGACCAGUACAGGCUCCGGUACCAGUAUGGCGAAUCUUGGAUAAAACCAAUUGGGAAGGGAAUGAGAUGGUUAGGUCAUUUGCAACAAAGGCCAAAGAUGACUCCUAAAAGGAGAUGUACUUGAAUUCAGAUGGAAGGAUAGAGGGGUAAUUAACUUGUGCUGACCAAGGAUAUGGCCUUUCAUGUGAGGUAGCGGGAGUAAGGGAAGAGACUCUCAUGAAGACAAUUUAAUAAGAAAUGCUUAGAAAGUGGGUGCAGGAAUGAGUUUUGAAGAAGAUUCUGAAACAGAUUUUGCACCCUUUAUGGAAAAUUCUUGUUGCGAAGGGCGGAUCCCUAAAGUCCAAGUAUCCCCUUCUGAAGUAGUGGUACAUGUUGGGGGAAAAACUCCAAGUCAUACGNNNNNNNNNNNNNNNNNNNNCUUGCAGGACUUACACCCCUCCAGGAGGACGUCACCAGUCGGCGCGCCGCCGACCACCGUCCCUGCAGCGAAGCUCCUCCUUCCCCGGCUUCGCGGUAGCCCCCGGGUCCAAUUUCCAGCAACAGUACACAAGGUCAACAUAGAAGAGGAACAAUCAAACUCUUGAGGCAAAGUGGAUAGCUUCACUAUUUCAUUAAAGAAUUCUCUGACAUAAAAGAUUUAGAGACAUGCUUAACAAGUACAGCUUCACAAGACAAGUUUCAUACAGAAAUGGGGCUUCUUUCAAUUUGACAUACUAAUGCUGGUUCAUACACAUGGAGCUUCAGUGGUUAUUAAUGGACAAGCUGUGGAGAUGUCAUGAAGUGUCUAGGAGCAAUGGACCUAGAAUAAUCGAUAGGGUGUUGACAUAGUUGUGCAAGGUGGUGUGGAAUGCAAGGUGCAGUCAUUUGUGAGGUAGAUAGGUAAUGGAGAAUGAUGGCCUACAAAAGAGUCGGAUGGUUGAAGUGGUAUCUAAUGAGCAGGUUCAAGAUUCAAAUGUGGUCUCAUAGGUGAUGGAGAAUGGAGGGAAGUGGACUUAUAUAGACAUCAGUGAGCCAAAAAUGUCCGUAAUGAGAUUAGCCCUAUUACAUAGUAUAUGAAAAUUUAAAUAAAAAUAAACUAAUUAUUAACAUGAGUUGGCCCAAAAAUACAAUUUACAAAAAUUUAGCACAAAUCUGAUAUCCUAAAAAGAAGUCCACAAGAGUGUUUAAAACUCGUGUUAUGUGGUAGUCAAACAUUUGCUUGAGUAUUGCUUAAGAAUUCUAUAUUGCACAGUCCAGUAUUCUGCCAUUUGCUAAUUCUGCAUGCAUGAUUAUAAAUCUCGUUUCUGACCAGUUUGGCCUGAUGUGGAAGAUAGUUCUAAGAUUUAUCCUAUCCAUGGUAAUGCUAUAUUUGCAUGUUCUGCAGUUUUACUGCUUCUCAGAUUUCACCUGCCUUCACUUCCCUUAGUACAUCUGAUUCUUUGUAGAUGCAUGUUGGAAUGACUAAAUUGAUUUACGGAUGCCUUCUUGAGCCAGUGAUAAUGCAAGCAAAAGAGCCCGACGAAGCAGAGCUUUUAAAGUAGUAGACAAGUUCAACUUCCUUAUUUCAGAAAGGAGUUCAAGCUGCAAGUUUCAUUCUUUGAAACUUAUGUUGGUUAUGGUUAUUUGUGGCACAAUCUUAACACUUCUGCACUCUUCAGCAGUGCAUAAUGAGCGUCUCCUGCAGUCUAUUUCUCGGUAUGUCUUCUUUUUCUCGAAUAGACUGUACAUGGUUUAGAUACGUUUAGGAGAUGGCAAAACCGGCACUGGAGGGUGUAUCAGUUUUUCCAAAAAACUGUUAUGGUACCGAGUAAUGGCACCAUGGUACGGGAGCCCAUCCCAUCCCCACACACUGUGUACAGGUGCCAGUUUUGGCUGUUUUUGAAACCUGGACAAGAAUUGUUCAUAUGGUAACAAAAUUUUUGAGAAAACACAUCAUAAACAAACUUUAAUCAAUUUUGGAAGUAUAUACUGUCAUACUAUCAGGAGGGUAAAAAACCUAUGCUUAUGUGCUGAAAUCAACUGUAAAAUGCUAAUUUUGUUUUAAUAAUACAUUUAUGUGGAACUUGCGAAGAAGCAUCUCAUUCCUAAGUGAUGUAUGAUGGGAAUGCAGGCCUGGACUUCUAGAUCUUGGGUGGAUAUGGGACAGAGUGACUUUGGAUUCCAGAUACGUAUCACAUUUGGAUGUCAACUGGUCACAAAUAUCAAAAAUUAUAGAACAAGUGGCUGGCAUGAGAGGAAAUCUCAAAGUCGGCUUACUGAAUUUCAACACUACUGAGGUCAGCUACUGGCAGCAUAUUUUACCAUGGGAAAACACUUCUGUUGUACAUCUAGAUUAUGCCAACAGCAAUCUUACUUGGGAGGUUCUUUACCCUGAAUGGAUUGAUGAGGAAGAAGAAUUUGAAGUGCCUGUUUGUCCAUCUCUUCCUGCACCGGAAGUUCCUCAAGGGUCACAGUUUGACCUUGUUGCAGUCAAGCUUCCUUGUAACAAGUCAGGGAGCUGGUCAAGAGACGUUGCAAGGUUGCAUUUGCAGCUCGCUGCAGCGAAACUUGCUUCGGCUUCUGUGGAAAGCCAGGAUCGGGUUCAUGUUCUUUUGGUAACUGAUUGCUUCCCAAUUCCAAAUCUCUUCACUUGCAAAGACCUUGUCAAACGGGAAGAAAAUGUUUGGCUGUAUAGGCCUAACUUAAAAACACUGAAGGAAAAGCUUCGGCUUCCGGUUGGAUCAUGUGAACUUGCUGUGCCGCUCAAAGCAAAAGGUCAGUUGGAUUAUCUUCUUUUGCCUUCCUGCUCUGCAGAUUCUGUGUGAAAAUGGAAACGAACCGUUGGUUUUCCAUCUUGAAAGAUGAGACCUGGAUUUUGAUCCCUUUAUAUAUGUAUAUAUAUGUCAAAUUCUUGAAUUGUCUCAUUUCAUUGAUCUUUGGAAGUUAUUAGGACUCGAUCAUUAUAUGUCUUUCCCUUCCUAGUCAGGAUGCAAGUUAUAUAUAUGCGUUGAUCUUUUUUUUUUUCUUCUGAUAUCUUUUAACUAUUGCACCGGACAAGGAUUUCAGCGAUCAAAAUUUAAAAUUUUCUGAAUAUAUGAAAAUGACUUCCCAUGUAAUGUUCAUUUGCGCAUGCUUCUUUUUUUUUAUAAUUUUUAUCCUUCUAGAUUUGUAUAUUUUGCUUUCAUGCUGAAUUUACAGUAUGAUUCACUAGCUGCUUGUUGUGCCCACAGAACAGCCAUACUCGAAGACCGGACUCCGAGAAGCCUAUGCCACAGUACUUCACUCUGCAGAUGUAUAUGUAUGUGGUGCAAUAACUGCAGCUCAAAGCAUACGUCUAACAGGAUCCACAAGGGACCUCGUAAUACUAGUUGAUGAAACAAUAAGCAACCAUCACCGAAGUGGCCUUGAAGCUGCAGGGUGGAAGGUCAGAACGAUCCAAAGGAUCCGCAACCCAAAGGCCCAGCGUGAUGCCUACAAUGAAUGGAACUACAGCAAGUUCCGGCUCUGGCAGCUUACAGACUACGACAAGAUUAUAUUCAUUGAUGCUGACAUGAUCAUCCUAAGAAACAUUGAUUUCCUAUUCACGAUGCCAGAAAUAACUGCCACUGAAAACAAUGCAACUCUCUUCAACUCUGGCGUGAUGGUCAUCGAGCCUUCAAAUUGCACGUUCCAGUUGUUAAUGGAACACAUCAAUGAGAUAGAAUCCUAUAAUGGUGGAGACCAGGGUUACUUGAAUGAGAUCUUUACAUGGUGGCACCGUAUGCCGAAGCACCUGAACUUCUUGAAGUACUUUUGGGGGGAUAAGAGCAUGAGAGUUAAAAAGACUCAGUUGAUUGGGGCCGACCCACCGGUUAUCUAUGUUCUUCACUACUUGGGGCUGAAACCAUGGCUAUGCUUCCGUGACUAUGAUUGCAACUGGAAUUAUGUCGGACUUCCGAUGUUUGCAAGUGAUGUAGCGCAUGCAAGGUGGUGGAAAGUGCAUGACAUGAUGCCAGAGAACCUGCAAUCCUUCUGUCUUCUUAGCUCUAUGCGGAAAGCAGUCUUGGAACAGGAUCGGAGGCAGGCUGAGAAGGCAAGCAAUCCUGAUGGACACUGGAAGCGGAAUAUAAGUGAUCCAAGACUAAAAAUCUGCUUUGAGGAGUUCUGCUCUUGGGAGAGCAUUCUAUCUAGUUUAUAAUCUCUACCCUCUCUUCGCUCAUGCUUUCUGUUUUCUUUCUCGCUUUUCACAUUCUUUAGUUUUGUAGAAAAAAUGGUAUUCAUCUGAUCCUUAGAGCUUCACCUAACGACGCCCUUCAUACAUAUCUUUCCCCUUGCUAAGUGUAAAGGUGGCAAUGUUUGGUCUUAUGCGCAUGCCUUGUUUCUGGAGUCAUAGGUUUCAUAUUGUUCCAUUGUUAUCAAUGGCUUGAUUUUUUCCACUUGAUAAUACAUAUGCUUUACUGAUUCUUUCAGCAAUCUUUCUCCAUUGUUUGCAAGUUGUCGUGGCAAGAUUGAUUGUUCAUUGGCUAUAAUCAUAAUUCUGCUGGAGCAAAUAAUUCUAUCUCUAGAGAUGUUAAGUUCUCACAGAAUAUGGGUCAGAUAUUAUCCAAAUGUGACACCGCUUUUGCAUCCGAUUCGGAUUAGAUCAGGAUGGAAAUGUUGAUAUCUGAUUGAACAUGCGUAACAACCCUUAUCUUCGGGAUUGAACCAGGGAUUUUCUACUUGAGUGACAAAGUAUUUAACCAAGUAGUCACUUCUAAUCUUAAAUGGUGGUUUAUUAUUUUCAUUGAAACCUUAUUCAUAUCAUUAAGUAUUUUCAUUUGAUGUAUGUUGCGAUAUUUCAUAUUCUAAUAAUUAGUUCUUUUUAAAAAAAUUGAUCCUUUUCCUUUCAUCAAAAAUGAAAAAUAGAUAUACUUCAUUUCAUAGUUUUGUUAGUAGAAACAUUUAAAAUAUCAAUAACCUACGUAUUUAUGUAUAAUUAUUCUAAUAAACUCUCUUUAAAAUAGAUAAUUCACUAGCAUAUAACCUGUGCAGAUAUGUGGGUACAAUUUGUUUAUAUUUUUUUGAAUUGUUCUCAAAAUCUGAUAGAGCAGUGUGGUAACUUAUAUUUAAACCAUUAUGUAGAUUUAUCAAAAACGUCAUGGUGCCUUUAUGUGAUUGCAAUAACUGUUACUUGAAGUCAUGCAAUAAAAUUCAUAUGUGCAGGCUAGAGUACAACUUAAACUAAAUUUCAAGAUCAAAGAUGUUUCAACUGGUGUGAGUUUGAGAUAAAAUUAAAUUAUAAAUAUAUAAUUAUUAUAUAUAAUAAUAAAUAUAUUUUUGUAAAAUAUUCAAUAUAUAUUUAUUUUAUUAUUUUCUUUUAUUUUCUAUAUUUAUUAAAUAAAUUAUUAGUGCUGGAUAAAUUUAUUUCAACUGUUAUAUAAAUUCCAUUGUAACUGUUAUAAUAGUUAUAUAACAAAUUAAAAACCAUAAUUUUAUUGGCAGCAAUUAUUUGUUUACAUUUUCAAUAACGGCUCUCUUAUCCUACUAUUUAAUUAAUACAUUGCUUUAACCUUAUUAAUAAUUGAAAAGGAUUUAAUUCUCAUUAUUAAUAUUAGUGUCCAUGUGGAGAGUGAUUAAAAAUCAGCAUUUUAUAUCCUACAAUUAUUUGUUUAUAUUUUUAGUAUUAACUAUUUUGUCUCAUUGAUUUAAUUAAUACAUAGCUUUUACCAUAAUUACAGUAUGGAAUGUGAGAAGGUUUUAAAUACUAUCAUUUAUAUAAUUAAUAUCUAUAUAGAGAGGGGAGCUCAGCGCAAGCUAAAACUUUAUUUUAAUUAUAUAAAAAAAUAUUAUUUUUAUUUACACCGCAAUUAAAGAAUAAUAGUGGUAUUUAACAUAGAAAUUUUGUUAAUAUCUUUAUAUUUUAUUUUAUUUUAUUUAAUAAUUUUUAAAUUUAAUAUUUAAUACUAACUUGAUCGGAUCAAUGAUGCAAAUCAUUGACCAGGUCAAUCCCCUUGCGGGUUUAAACCUUUGACUAUUUACUAAUGCAUUGUUGCAAUUUGGGUAGCAGAUUUAUGUCACGCCCCGAACCAACAUCCGAGUCCGGCAUACGACACGACUGCACACUCUCUAGAAUAGAGCCCUAAAGAAUAUGCAAGGCCUAAAAAUAUAAUACAAUCUCAAUACCAUAAUCAAUAAUGAUCUCAAUCCAUAUCAGACAACAAAGUUGAUUUAAUUACAGAAUUUGAUCAUCUAACCAAAAUCCGUAAUGCUCUAUCUAAUCAUUCCCUCCAUCUGCGAUCUCAACCAUAGCUAUAUACUAUAGCACCUGCAACUCUAAAAAAGAGAAAGGGGAAGGGAUUGUGAGCUUUACAACCCAGUAAGAAUUCUCAUACAUCCGCACCAACUCAAUAAUAAUAUAAAUUUGAAAACCGCAAAAAGUCGUUGCACACAUCAUGAAAUCACAAAUCGAUUAUCAAUAACACUCGAAUAAUCAAUAUAAUAUAUAUAUAUAUAUAAUAUCAAAAGAAAUUCAACCACUCAAGAGUACUAUAGCAUAUGAUAUCUCAUAAAGCUUCAUUAAUGCUUUCAAUGCUUUUUUUUUAACUUGAUUCGAAUUAAUUAUCUUAUCGACUUUAGGCCUGCCAAAGUAACAUAUUUCCAGCCUGUGACAGGGCCUGCCAAUUAUAGUAUCACAUUUUCAGCCUGUGAUGGGGCCUGCAAAGUAUCACAUUUCUAGCCAGUGACUAGACUUGCCAUAAUAACGAGAUAAGCCCAAAGUUCUUGUUUAUUCAAUUCAAUUUACAUCCACACAUCAAUUCCUUUUUUAUCUAUUUUCGACUUUAGACUAACCACAGUCAUGUUUCUAAUCUAUGAUGGGGCAACCAAUAAUAACAUGGUUAGUCCAGAGCACUAGAUCCAUUAGUCCGAUUGUGCAAGUGUAAGUUAUACUCAUAUACCCAUCAUACUAUUCAUCACAAGCAAACAUGAUCAAAAUAUGAUUUAAUACCAAAACCAUCAUAAAACUAUUCUUGCUUUUUACUUAUCUGAAUCAUAGCAUAUCAUAUAUAUAUAUAUAUGUACAAAAAUAUUUAUAUCAUGUAGAUCAGUGUACAAGAAUUCUUACCUGUUUUCUAACAACUAGACAGACUAUCAUGAUCUACGAACCAGGAGCGCAGAACCCUACUCAAUAUCUUCUUGUCCAAAAGAUUGUUCUCCUACAGAACUAAAUCAACAUAAAAAAUUAUCCGAGAUAUCUGACUGCCCAGAACUCUCUACUGGUCCACUAAAGGUCCACCAUCACGUAGUAAUCUAAGACUAUCCAGCAGCCCUCACAACUAAUGAUCUCUCCGGAUCAAGUUAGAGAGAUAAAGUACCAACAGAAAGAGAGAGAAACUAGAGUAUAAGAUCUCGUUGGGCUUCUUCUUGCCCGAAUGACUAUAGCCUCAUACAAAUCAGUGCUAGACUAUGAAAAUAUAUUCAUAUAUGAUGACAUAUGAGGCUAACUAGAUAACAAUGCCCAUUUAUUCGAAUCGGUUAAGGGUUAUCAAUUAUGGGUCUAAUGGUGGCUGACAACAGUUGGAUGCAAGACGGACAGGGUUGACUAGGUAGCAGCGUCCGACGAUCUGGGUCGGUCCGCUUUGGUCAAUCAGGUCAGACAACUCAUGAAAUAAGAAUUAGUCUAUGAUACUGAUAACAAAAUAGAGAUUCAUGAUGAUAGAGUCCAGCAAUACUCAACAAUAGUCAGGGUAAGGCUGGUGUGACAAAUAGUCGCAACGACACUAGACCAAAAGCCUCUGACUGGUUAACUCGGGUCUACAAUGAGAACAUUAUGACUUUUUUGCUGGAUCUAUAGAACUACGUGAAGAGAGAGAAACAAUCCAGAUAGAGAGAUGAAGUUCAAUAGAGAGAAAGCAUAGCAGAGAGAAACAGGUCAGGAGAGUGGAGAGAGGGGAGAGAGAAAGAGGCCUUCUUCCUCUUCUCGAAAUAGGGGGGGCUCUCUUUCUCAAACCGAGCCAUGGAAGAGCCGGUGGACAGCGGCCUACAACAGUCUCCGGUGACGGCAACGACGACGACUCGGAGCCGCAAGCCAUCACCUGUGGUGACCGGCGAACCAAGGGAGAAGAAGAGAGGAAGCAAACGAAGAGCAAGGGAUGUCAAUCUUGGCCUGGGUCAUGCCCGAUUCUACCCAUCAACAGCCACAUGUUCAGCGUUCCUAGACGGCUGAAAAUCCCGGCGGCCGGCGGCGGCGAAACCCAAAGGAAAGGAGAGUGGAGACAGGGCAAACAGGGGAUCUCUUUUUCGGUCGAUUUCCGGCCGAUUCCUCGGCCAGCGGUCGUGAUUCCGGCUUGAGGGAAGAAGGCCAAGGAAGGGGGAAGAAGGCUAGGGUGAUACCUCGGCCCCAGCGGCGUUCGGUGGUCUCGACUUCUGCCAAACACAAUAAUGGCAACCGCGAGCUCGACGGGAAGAAGAAGAAGAACGAGAGAGAAAGAAGGGAUAUCGCUCUGGUAGAGGCUUUGGAGGGAGAGAGAGGACUCACGAAGCCUCUAAAUAGAGGCGGCUGCGAUCGGAAUCCGACUCGAAGUCGGUUUUCCUCCGGCGAGCGGGAGGAGGAAGACUCCCAUCGGGAGUCCUCUUCCUCUCUAGGCACGUGCCAAUUUUUUUCCGCUUUUUUUUUUUUGUUUCAGCCCAAAUUUAAUUGGGCCCCGGUCAAAUGGAGCAGGCCCACUUUGCCUAAAGGUCGGAGUCUUACAAUUAUUUCCAUCUUUUAUGGUAAUAUUAUUUAUGUUAGUCUUUAUUAUUGAAUUCUAUUCAAAAUCUAAUUUAUAUUAAAAUAAUAUUUUACUUAGGUCCAUAUUGGAAUAAAAAAAUGAAUAUAAUUAAUAUAAAACUUGUAUCCUUAUCCGUAUUUAUAUCUGCUAAAAAUAUGGAUACAAAUAUGAAUAUUUCAAUACCUGGUCUGAUUUGUUUUUAGCCGUACUAAGAUCAGAUAUAAGCUAUGCAUGUCAGGAACUUUCUAUUAAGUUUCUGAUUUUACAGUGUUACUUCUCAGUUGCUUUCUACUACCGGGAAGCUAACCGUUCCAGAUGUGUUUCAUACCAGAAAGUUGCAUCAUGCAAGUGUUUAGAACUUGGUGUUUAUCUGACAUAUCUUCAUAGCAUUUUUGUAAAUUACAAAUUGAUGAGAAUGCUAAGGAUGUACAAAUAAAGCCAAAUCCAAUGGGAAAAAUAUCAUAUGUUAAAGAUUUCACGUUCAGAGCAUCUUCAGAGUAGGCGUAAAAGGAGAAGAUGGUUGCAGCUUGAUCAUCAGGUUAAUCAAGGUUAAUCACGGGGCAGAUAAAUAAAAUGCAAUAACUGUAAACAGAAGUAGAUCUCAUUUAUCUCUGAAUAGAAUUUACUGAUAGGAUUAUCCUAUGGGUUUAACAUUUUGGAGUCAUUAUCAAAGUAAUGCAACGAGUUGAUAUCUAGUUCAGAGCUUGGGUCUUUGACUGUUCUAUUGGUGAGAGGACCAGGAUGUCGCUUAAUGUGGUAGGUAUGUCAAAACUAAGUAUCCCUCUCACUAUUGCAGAGACUCUCUUGGUAAAAUGGCCAUUCCAUCUUUAUAUGUUUUAAAGUACACCAUUCUUGAUGCUUUUAAAUGAUGAUGUUAAUCAAAGAAGGAAAUGUGGAGUUUUUCACAGGUAGGGAGGGACAAUAGGGAACAGAAGUUGUUUUCUUACGUACUGUUAAUUGAAAUAGAGUUUUUCUACUCAAUAAGCCAAUUACAACUUACAAAAAUUCAAUUUUCCAAUUCAUUUGGAUACUUUUAGCUUAUCUUCUUUUGCUAUAAUUUCUUGGUUUCUAUUGGAGUUUUUGGUGGAAUUUGUGGUGCCUUCUUCCAAGCCUGGAGAGGAACAUUUCAGUCCUUGGCCGCUAGAGCACGGCUGUACUACAAGUAAAUCCAUUCAAGUAAUUCACACAAAUGGCAUGGAGAUCCCACAUGGAGGAACUUUGGCCUCCAGAUGUUACGCAUUAUGGUAUCAUUUUGAGUAGCUCCCUGAACACCUUAGAUAUAUUUCUAGUAUAUAAUUCGAGAGCAUGCUUCUCAAUUGGCACUUGACCAUAAAGUUGGUUGUGAAUGCAUUUUGUGGAAGUUUUCCUCAUCCUCUCAGUCAUAUCAGCUUUCUAUGACUACCUCAUAUUAAGUUACAAACUUGAAAGCAUUCAUAUGAUUGUCAACAAAAUUUUUGAACAACGGACGAAUACUUCUACUGCAUUUUGUUAUAGACAUGGAAGUGAAGAAUAUAUGCCUAAAAUAUGCAGAUACCAUUUGUCUCAUAUACUAAAUAUGUACUAAAGGUAAGUGUUGGACUCCAAGUAGCGCUUUUUGAUAGAAUGCUCAUACUUCUCUAGAGAAAUGGAAGUAUUGAUGCAGUGGUGAAGAUCAUCCUUUAGUUCAUCCUUUGUAUUAAAUAGAAUAGUUCCUUGAUAUUCUUUAUGACAUUCCACUUACAAAAUCGGUGGAUGAUAUUAGGGAAUGUUUGCUCAAUUACCUUUUUCAUGGACAGGUCUUGAUUGGUUAAGAUGCAUUUUGCGUGCUUGCCAAACAUUGCCUCUAAAAAAGUUUGGAAGAUCUAAACCGAUGAUUCUAUCCUCUCAUCUCGUACUAGUGCACAACGAAAUAAAAUGAAUUGCAAGUGAUAGUUAACACCAACAAAUAAUGCAAAGGCAUUCUAUAUUUGUUGGACAUGUACGUGGUAUCGAAAGUGACCAUAUACGGAAGUAUUGAUAAGCCAUUCUGGACCUCCUAUUAAUUCAAAAAAUAUUUGACGCACUAUUGUUGGCAUCUAAUUGGAUGGCAUAAAAAGGUUAGAUUCUUGGCUUGUAAACAUCGAAAAAGAUGCACUCUUGUCUGAACGUCAAUAUUGAAUAAUUGUUUUUGAAGGUUGAAUCUAAAGUUGCUUAGAUCCUUCCUAGUGAAUAUACCUCCAUGCAGUUGUGAUAUAGCAUCUAUAACUUGUCGUGUAGAAAUAUUUUGCUCAUGUAAAGUUUCUAUGAAUUUUUUGUCUUCUGCGGUAAUUUUUUUUGUGUGAUUGGAGGAAGCAAGUUUUAGAUAGGCUAUAAAUGAACUCAUAACUAUGAAUAUCAAUAAAUAUUAUGUUCUUUCAUAAAAGCCGGCUCAAUCUUUAGGCGACUGAGACGGUCGUUAAGGCCCCGGCCCAAAGCAGACCCAUCGCAGUCCAGGAAGGCCCCAAAGAAAAUAGAAAGAAAAAAUAUCCUUCUUAGUGAGUUAGCCUUUGGCUUCCAAAUGCAUUGGGCCGCUCUUAUCUCUCAUUUGCCAACCUCAUUUUUUUCUAAUAUGCAUUUUUGCUUUGUAUCCAAUAUGGAUGCUCUAGGUAUCCUUGCAUGGAGUUGUAAGUUCUGCAUGGCCUUCUCCAUCAAAUACUCGAUCCUAGGCUUACAUGUCCCUUCUUUGCAACAUGUGCAUUCUUGCCUAGUGAUUACCGCGGCUAAAAGGGUAUAUGGUGGAAAGUGUAUGUGCCGAGAUUUGUGCAGAUGGGACGGUCCCGGAGGUGACCGAAUUUGCCACCGGAUGCGGUUGAAUGGAACGUGGACUCUCUCCCCUCUCUAUAUAAUAUUUACGUACAUGCAUGGCACUAAAACAUGCAGAAAAAUGGCGAGCCCAGCAUAUUUGUUAGUCUUUUGUCGACAAUAUAAAGACGAUUCACCAUGCAUCAAUUCGAAGUUAUCGCCUGCUAACUUCUCCUACUGUUUGAUUGGAGCACACCCACUCAUUCCCCUGGAUAAAAUUGUCCAGCGAGUAGGUACAUAAAUGCUCCGCCGGUAUCUGGCUGCUCCACGGCACCCUCGCCGACAUGUUCGCCCCAGGCCCCGAGCUCCCGAACUCGCCGUAGAACAGCGUGUUGAGCGCGAAGUCACCGUCCCACGGCAGCCACCCUUCCGCCCUUACAAUGGCCUCCAUGUAGGUCUCGACGAACACGGUCCUCGAGUACUCCUUCCACGGCCGCCCGAGGUAGGCCCGGUGGACGGCGGGAUUCCGGCGGUACAGCGCGACGUACUCGUCGCUGCCGUUGACGACGCAGCGGCGGAAGACGAAGCCGGUGGAUUGGACGGGGUCGGUGCGGCCGUGGGCGGAGAGAGUGCUGGACUCGCCGUGCUCUGGGUUGAGCUGGCGGGGGAGGAAGAGGAGGAGGCAGCUCUCGAAGACGGCGGCGGAGUUGCCGAAGACGAAGUCGACUGUGCCGGAGAUGCGGCAGUUGCGGUAGAGCUGGCGGAGGGAGUGGGCGUAGAGGGUGUCCUGGUGGCCGAGGAGUUCGACGGUGUCGAGGAUGGAGAGGUCGCUGUCGGAGCGGAAGGCCACGGCCUGGUGGGCGUCCGGGCCCGCGGUGUUGGCGAUGGUCAGGUUCCGGGCUCGGAAUCCGUCGCCACUGACACCUGCGCCGGGCAGCAAAAAAUAUAUGUAAUGUGGUUUGGUUAUACGGAAACUCCCUUCGGAGCACGUAUUGCUAAGUAUUGAAACCGAAUCUAGCACUAAUAUAUAUAGAGUUACAUUAAUAAUUUAGGGGAACUUGCUUAGUGGUCCAUUUAUUGACCGAACUUUAACAUUAAAUCCCUGUUGACCGGUUGUUUAAUAUAUAUUUCAACAUUGCUUUAUGGGAUGAAAAUGCCCCCGCCUCUCCCAUUCUCACCGAAGAAGGAGAAGAAAAAGGCAGCCACCGGCCACGACCCGCCUCCUCUCGAGCCCCCUCCCACGCCUGCCGCCGGCCACGGCAUGCCCCCUCCUGCGCCCGCUGUCCCCUUCCGUGCCGCCGGGAAUGCCUCCGCCCCCACGGUGGGGAGGUGCCGAAGAAGAGGAGCCGCUGGCCAGUCGCAGGCGCCGCCGGCUGCGACUCGGCCCCCCUCCGGUGGCCCCCUCUUGCGGCCACCACCGUCCAGCCCCCUUCCUUAGCUGCCGGCCUCGCGAGAGGAGAAGGAAGAAGAAAGAAGGAGAAGGGAAGAAGAGAAGAAAAAAGAAAAGAAAAAAGAAAAGGAAAGAAAAAUGAGAAAAUAGAAUAAAAUAAAAAUAAAAAUAAAAAUAAAGUUAACUGUGUUCCUAGACAAGUCAACUGUGUUCACAGAUAAGUUAACUGUGUUCACAGACAACUUAAUUGUGUUCACAGAUCUGGGGUCGACCCCUGCUCACCUGGAGUCGACCCCUUAACAGCACGAGUCGACCCCUGUUCACCUGGAGUCGACUCUCUCAGGCUUUCCUAGACAAGUUAACUGUGUUUCUAGACAAGUUAACUGUUUCUGGACAACUGUGUUCCUAGACAAGUUAACUGUGUUCACAGACAACUUAACUGUAUUCCUAGACAAAUGUUCCUAGACAACUUAACUGUGUUCCUAGACAAGUUAACUGUGUUCCCAAACAACUUAACUGUGUUCCUAGACAACUGUGUUUCUGACAAGUUAACUGUGUUCACAGACAACUUAACUGUGUUCCUAGAUAACUGUAUUCCUAGACAAGUACUUAACUGUGUUCCGAGACAAGUUAACUAUGUUCUUAAACAAGUUAACUGUGUUUCCAAACAACUUAACUGUGUUCCUAGACAAGUUAAUUGUUUUCACAGACAACUUAACUGUGUUUCUAGAUAAGUUAACCGUGUUCAUAGACAAGUUAACUGUGUUUCUAGACAACUGUAUUCCUAGACAACUUAACUGUAUUCCUAGACAACUUAAUUGUGUUCACAGAUAACUUAACUGUGCUCCUAGACAACUAUGUUCCUAGACAAGUUAACUUUAUUCCUAGACGAGUUAACUGUGUUCCUAGACGAGUUAACUAUGCUGUGUUCCUAGACAACUGUGUUCCUAGAUAAGUUAACUGUGUUCCCAAACAACUUAACUAUGUUCCUAGACAACUGUGUUCCUAGACAACUUAACUGUGUUCACAGACAACUUAACUGUAUUUACAGAUAAGUUAACUGUGUUCACAGACAACUUAACUGUAUUCACAGACAAGUUACCUAUGUUCACAGAUAAGUUAACUGUGCUCACAGACCUGGGGUCGACCCCUGCUCACUUGGAGUUGACCCCUUAACAGCACGAGUCGACCUCUGCUCACCUGGAGUCGACUCUCUUAGGCUUUCCAGAGAGCUAUUUUUCUGCCUGAUUUCAGGGGUCGACUCCAGCUCUUCAGGGGUCGACCCCAGCUCUUCAAGGGUAGACCCCAGCUCAGCAUGAGUCUACAACAAUUUUCUAAUAACACAUAACUGUGUGCAUAGUUCUAUUUACUGUGUUCGCAGACAAAAUAAUUAUGUUCCGAAAUAAAUAACUGUGUGCACAGUCGAAAUAACUGUGUUCCCGGGUAGAAUAAGUGUGUUCCGGGAUGAUUUAACUGUGUUCCAAGCUUAUUUAACUGUGUUCCAAACUUAUUUAACUGUGUUCCAAGCUUAUUUAACUUUAUUUUUAUUUUUUCCUUUUUUUCUUUU
Molecule: long non-coding RNA, 71030 nt
Filed under: Phoenix dactylifera (date palm)
Lineage: Eukaryota; Viridiplantae; Streptophyta; Magnoliopsida; Arecales; Arecaceae
Description: long non-coding RNA (PDAC_LNC004213)
Source: RNAcentral